UUUUUUUUUUUCGUUUUACUUUUCUGGGUUUUUGCUUCCAGUUUUUUCACUCUGUUGGCCGGGUUUUCAGCUGUUUUGUUCCGGGUUUUUUAUGUUUUGGUUUCUUUUCUCCUUUCAUUUAUUAUUUUAUGUUUCCUUUUUUUAUUUUCUUCUUCUGUUCUUCUUCUCUUUAUUGCUUAUAUUAUAUAAAAAGUUCACCGCGUAUUAGAAAAAAUUUCAUCGUAUUAAGAAAAUGUUCAUUGUAUACCAUGAAACAGUUCACCUUGAAUUAUAAAAAUGUUCAUCAUGUAUUACAAAAAUGUUCAUCAUAGAUUAUUGAGAGAAUUCCUUAUUUGACCAUUUCUUAAAUUUUUCUUCCCUUUUUGGCCCUAAAAAAUAUCUUUUUCCCUUUUUGACACACAAUUUUUAUUUUGUUCCCUACAUGACACUUCUGUCAAUUUUGGCACAUAACAGUGUUUAGUCUAACAUAAUAAGACCAUUCUACCCCUGGUAUAUUAUUUGACCAAAAUUAUUUACAAGUCAAAAGCAGCCAUGAUGCGAUAUGUUUUGUCUUUUGAUGACUAAUGACUAAUGAAACCAAAUCUACUAUUUCUGUAUCACGUAACAGAUUUCAGCUCACCAGAUUCCCGCAACAAAAAAAGAUUGACAUCUCAUGCGCAUUUGUUUUACCACUUGAUGGAUAGUACUCCCUCCGUCCGGAAAUACUUGUUAGUGUAAUUGAUGUAUCUAGAUGUAUUUUAGUUUUAGAUACAUCCAUUUUUAUCCAUUUAUGCGACAAGUAUUUCCGGACGGAGGGAGUAAUUCCGUUGCAUUCGGUUUACCACUUGAGAAGCCGGCCGAAAUGAGACAGUUUAAGAGUGACCGUGUAGUUUAAACAAAAAAGAGAAGCCGUAACAUGCACGGAUCAGUAUACCACCCUGCAGUUGUCGAGUUGGUGCGUAUCUGUCCGGCGCCGACGAACUAGUAGAUAUUGUUGGCUUUCUGCGCAACAAGCGCGGGCGUGGUGUUGCCGGAGGUGAGUGCCUGGUCGGCGACGACGCCCUUGUUCUACUCGCUAAAUCACUCGGUCACAAAGACGAUCAGACGAGAGUUUUGCAUCGCGUACGAAUGCGACUUUUCUGUAAUCUUCUUCUUAUUUUUUUGGUACAGAAAGAAAGUGAUGGCCGGUAGUUUUCCUACCGAGGCGCCACGAUCUUGAAGACUCGUGCCAUGCUAAACCACCAUGCAAAUCACGCGGGCCGUGCGACGUGGUGACGUCACACUAUGGGCCCUUGCAGCUUUUUUUUGGAAUUAUAGGCCCAUGCAGCUGUACGUGCAAGUUUUGCUAAAAAAAGCUGUACGUGCAUGUUGCCUCAAAAAAAAAAAACUGUACGUGCAAAGGUUGUACGCUCUCAGCCUCGCGCCGCCGCCGCUAUUUGCGCUCGGGUGGACUCGGGCGAGAAGGUGCGGUGGGGAUUUUCUUUUUUGCCAGUGAGCUAAAGCAGGGGUAAAAGUGACUUUUCAUGUUGCACUUCACUAGGUUAGUCGCCAAAAUUGACAGAAGUGUCAUGGAGGGAACAAAAAAAAAUGUGUGUGUCAAAAAGGGAGGAAAAUGCUUUUAGGGCCAAAAAGGGAAGCAAAAUUUAAGAAAGGGUCAAAUAAGGAGUUCUCUCUAGAUUAUUAAAUUUUUCAACGUAUAUUAGAAAAUGUUCAUUGUGUAUUUAAAUAUUGUUUAUCAUAUAUUAAAAAAAAUUGAACGUAUACUAUAAAAUAUUCAUUUUGAGUAUUUUUUGUUCAGUAUAUUUUGCAAAAAAUCUCACUGUAUUUUAAAUUUUGUUCAACGUAUAUCAUAAAAAUGUUGAAUGCUUUUUUUAGGAUUAGCCGUUGUACUUCCUACUUUACGAAUGGCGCUGCGUUUAUAACGUUCGAGCUCGCUUUCUAGGCUGGGUUGCCUAGCUAGAAUCCAGCAUGAGGUUGGGUGUUCGAUCCAACGCAUUCACUUCUCUUUUUUUUCGUUUAGCGCGUGAUAAUUGGGCCGGACCGUGUGCGUGUCGCUUUAGCGAAGCCUGGAUGAUCAUCGGACGCACACGGGCGAUGUAUAGGAGCUCUCUCUCUUCCCUCACAAAAAGUCUGCGUUAAUUUUCGAGGAGUUUUACCGUAGGGACGGGUAGACGUGGGCCAUUCAUCCACCAGAUCUAAAGGCCGAGGAGUAGUAUUUUUUUGUUGAAGGGCAAAAUAGGUAGAGAAAAAAAUUAUAUCCAGUAGACCGACGGGUAGGACUGGGGGAUCAAAUUCCACUCGUCCGCCGCCAGUGGGAGAAUCAGCGACGGCCACAGACACGGGCAUGACGGCAAAUCGCGGCAUUUAUACUCGCGCGGGUCGUGCUCAGGUUGCAGACUUGCAGGUGCAAACAGUGAGAAGUAACCGGCCGCACGAAACCGCCGUGUUGUUGCUCCGCGGCGUCUAAGGGCGUUUCUGCUCCGGUGCUCCCCCUGGCUGAACGCGAGGUGGAAAAACACAUCGACGGCCAGGAUGAAUCAAAAACGGUUCAUAACGAGGGGCACAAUCGUCUUUGUUGCCCCCGCGUAUAGCCGUCGAGAAGCCCUGGAAGACCCGUACGAGCCCGGUUAGAUCGUAUGCCCGGCCGUAUACGUAUUUCUAUACGGCGGCCUUUCGUGCACGCGUGCAGCCGCCCGCGCGUGGGCAGCACGUGUCACCGGUAGUUGCCAAAACUGUCCCAUCAUAUAAAUGUGGACGGCAACCACCUCCGGCCGCAUCGCCCACCAUUCCCCCCCGCCGCAUCGUCUCCCUCUCUCCACUCCCCACUCCCCACUCCCUCUCCUCUCCAACCUACUCGUCUCCCUCACCGCAUCCUCUCCAUCGCCAUGGCGGACGCAGGAGGCGAGCGCCCCGAUUGGGGCGCAGAUCUGGUGGAGCAGGGGCGACAGGUCGCUGCGGGCACCUUUGUGAGGGGGCGUGCCGGCGUCCAGCGCGGUGCUCCCUCCACUGCAGAUCUGGAGAAGGCGGGGGCGGGCUGCAGCGCCGCGGUCCAACCAGAUGCGCCCGCUCUAGCGAUCUCCGGCGAGGCGCAGAAGGUGGAGGCGGGCUCUGGCGAGGCGCAGAAGGUGGAGGCGGGCUCUGGCAAGGCGCACGAGGUGGAGAAGGUGGAGGCCGGCUCUGGCGAGGAGCAGGCGGAGCAGAAGGUAUCUGCUUCUCACUUUUAGUUGGUAGUUUUUAGAUUGUAGGGUUUGUGGCCAGAACUUUGUUUGGUUAGAUUUGUUGGAGGUAGGGUUUUCUCUGCAUUAGGGUUUUUCUGUAUUUGAUUUGUGCAAGAAUGGUGGACCACAUAUGAUUAUUAUAUUAGGUUAGAAGUAGCCGGAUUGAGGGAUGGGGUUUUUUCAGAUGCUUAUUAGAUUAGUAGUGGAAUUUUUGCAAUUCUUUAGGUGUUUGGAGGAUUAAAUGAUGGAUUAGUCAAAUAUAUACUUCUCUAUUGGUUUGGGUUGGUGCCUGCUUUAGUUCUUUGGCUUGAUGAUUAAUUAAAUGGAUGAUUAGUUCUAGGGAUUAUGCCUGUCAUAGUUGCAAUUCUUAGAUGCUUGAUUGAUGCAUGUUGUCAUAGUUGCAGUUCUUUGAUGCUUGAUUGAUGCCUGUCAGGCAGAGGCUAUGUGAUUGGAUUUGUUUGUGUUGGAUUGGGGCUUCUGAAGGAGAGGGGAAGGGGCAGUCUAUGCUUAUUUAGUUUGGGUUAGUACUGGAAUUUUGCCGUUGCUUCAGAGAUAUUUACAGCAUUGAACAUCCUCUGCAAUGUCGUUGCUUCAGAGAUAAAAGAAUCUUGGGGUUUUUUCAAAUGCUUAUUAGAUUAGUAGUGGAAUUUUUGCUUGUUAGAUUUUAAUUAGUAUGAGGUUGAAUACCUUAUUUAAGGGGGAAUUUAAGGUCAGAUAGACGUCAUAUGAUUAUUAGAUCUGUAGUUCAAUGCUGCAGACAUAUAUGAUUAUUUGAUUUGAUCUGUGGUUCAAUGAUACUGGAUGGAAACAUAUUUGAUUUGGAAUGCAUUAAUUUUGAUGUGCCAAUGAAUUGAUUUAGAUGAUACAAGAUUCAUCUAUAGUAUAAUUUGUUGUUGUUUAGGUAAGUAAUGAAAUUUUAGAUGUUUGUUGGAGAUGUAUGCAUUUAUAGUUGAAGUUGUACCUAAUUAACUACUGCAUUAUGUUAAUAUGUGUAGGAGCUUUGCUGCAUUAUCCAAAAACAGUAAUUUGUGCAUAUUAAAAUUUGUAGUUGGCUUCUGUAAUUAGUAGCAAUGGAUGUAAUUUUAUAUUUAGGGGGCUAAGAGAUAACUCACUUUACAAUUGCAGAAGGGUGGCCUAAAAAACAGUAACAUGGCCUUGAAAUAUUGUCCUUGCCCAAAAUUUUAUAAAUCAAAUGUUGUAGGCAGGCCUAUUGUCGAGCCUCAUAAAAUUAACCUGGCCAGAGAUUUUCCUCUUUUGCAAAUACUUAUGAUGAAUUACAAAAAUAUGCAGCUAGGAUGUCAGCAUUGUAUAACUAUGAAGUAAACAUUCCAAGGCAGGAUCCUAGCAACAAAAUAUACUAUAUGUUUCCAUUAAGUAGUGUGUGUGGGGGGGGGGAUUCCUUCAAAAGAAAAGUGUUGGGUUAAUCCAGGGAAUGUCAAGAAUCCAGCUUGGAUUUUCAUUAGCAUUUAUGAAGGAAAGCAUUUGUCUGUUGAUUGAUUGCUUAGAUUCUGUAUUUAUAAGGAAAGCAUUUGGUCACUUGCAACAUACCAAUGUGGUUCACAUUCACAAUUUUGUUUGUAAUGACAUGCUGUGAACUGCAAUUCAAUUCAUUGUAAUUGAUGUGCUUGUUUGAGAAUAUAGCAGGAGGAGGAGGAUCUUGUGGGCAACAAGAGGAAGUGGGACAAGACUGGGUUCUACCCAUAUGACUCUGACGAAGAUGAGCCGUACGAGGUAAGGCCUAGUUGAAAUGUUAUUUGUGCAUUGAGUUAGUAUUAAUGCUUUUGAAUGCAUAAUGUAUUAAUGUCAGUCAUUAAUGUGUGCAGUAUCAAUCUGGAGAUGAUGUGGUCGAGGGGAACGUCGAGUCCUUUGAAGAGAAGGUGGUGCAGAAGAUCAGGGCCCAAGGAUCUGCUAUGUACUACAACUGAAGGACGGACAUGUACCGGUGCCCCUACUGCAGCAGGCCCAAGCCCAGGUCUGGGUUGCUGGAGCAUCUGAUGGAACAUUGUCGGGCUACAUCCAUCAGCAGUGAUGAGUACAAGAUCAGGGCUAAGCAUUCUGCCCUCCACAAAGUCCUGAGAAACCCUAACAUGUAGUUGCCCUAGACCCUGGUUGUCAUAUGAUGGAGGAAGCCUCGGUUCUUUUGGUGAACUUUAUGUGGCAUUCUGAUGGUGGAAAAUUUUAGUGGUAAUGUAGUAUGAACUUUAUCUAAGUGUAGUACUGUGAUGUGUGGUCUAAACAUAUCUAAUAUGCUAGUGGUCUGAACUUGGAGGUGUCUGCAUCAGCAAGUGUGCUAUGUGGAUGCUGCUAUCUAUGGUAGUAAUAUAUAUUGGUAUCUAUAUUUGUGUCCCUUAAAUUUGCCAUUAUGGUUCCUGAGAUGUAUGGUUCCUUAGAUGUAUGAUUUGCUUGAAUUUAGCUGCUGCAAUGAUCAGACAUGCCGCAUCAGUGUUGCUUCACUGAUCAGGCAUGCUGCAAACACUUCUCAUGCUGUGGCCAUGUGGAACAUGUUGUGGCAAUGGUGCAAUAAAUUCCCAUGUUGUGGCCAUGUGCAACAUGCUCUGCCCAUAAGCAAAUCGGACCAAAUGUAAAACUUUAAUUAAUGUUGUUUAGUGAAGUAAGUGGAAAUUGUUCAUCCACACAUAUGACAUCUUUCCUUCAUAUGAGUAAGCAAAAAUAGCAAAUACUCCACCAUAUGAUCAAAUAUUCCAAAAACUAAGCACAUAUUCCAUCAUUUCAUCAAAUAAUAAUAAAAAAGUAGUUAAAGAUGGUGUGUGUGUGUGCAAAAAACAACAUUUGAAUAAAGAUGUAAUGAUUAUUUGUAAUAUUAAGGAGUUUUUUCAUGAAAUGCAAGUUGAUUAUUUGUAAUAUGAAAGAUCUCCUUUUGUACAAUUUAUAGUGGCUCCGUGAACCCACAUGUUUCGAACCGGCAUUGGGCAGUGCAUAAAAAAUUCAGAAAAAAUUCAAAAAUUGUGACCCAAAUUUUCUUGCACAUGGCGACCCACAUGUGCCAAACAUGCCUAUGAAAGAAAAUUUGGAAAAAGAAUAUUUUACAAUGCCCCCUUAGGUAUAGACCGAUGUUUUGACCAGUCAGUCUAGAGGGCAUUAUAAAUUAAUAAAAAUUUCAAAAAAAAAUAUAAAACCUUGGAAACCUAGCUUUGUUUGUGCAAGAGAUCAUGUGUGCCAAAAUUGAGGUGAUUUGGAGGUGGUCGAAAAAAUGACUGCAUUCCGGAGGGGCCAUUUGGUCUAACUUAAGCAAGUUUUUGAACAAAUGUGAUUUUUCCCACCACCUCCAAAUCACACAUACUUUCUUGCACAUGGUGACCCACAUGUGCCAAACAUGCCUAUGAAAGAAAAUUUGGAAAAAGAAUAUUUUACAAUGCCCCCUUGAGGUAUAGACCGAUGUUUUGACCAGUCAGUCUAGAGGUCAUUAUAAAUUAAAAAAAUUAAAAAAUAUAUAAAACCUUGGAAACCUAGCUUUGUUUGUCCAAGAGAUCAUGUGUGCAAAAGUUUAGGUGAUUUGGAGGUGGUCAAAAAACCCUAGAACACUGCCCCGGCAGGACGCAACGUGCGUUUUGUGUCCGAAUUCGUGCACACCUUGCCUGGGGGGCCACAUUAGCCAUGCUCACAUGCUCCCAAAAGUUGGGGUCAUAUCAUGCAUGCCCCCACAUGCACCAUGUACAAGCCGGACCAUUCGGGUCUGCCGGAGGGCAAGUUUGAAAGAGGUUUUCCUUGCCGGCCCCACCAAAUGAUCCCAAACUUUUUGCACACCCUACCAUGACCAUGGCAUGCAUGUGGGAGGAGAAUUCAUACACCACAACCUCAUUUUUGUUGAAAUCCCAUUAAUAUCCAUGUGUAUUACAUGUAAGUGAGCAUGUGUAAAAUUUAUUAGAUGACUUGAAAUCCCAUUAAUAUCCAUAUGUAUUACAUGUAAGUGAGCAUGUGUAAAAUUUAUUAGAUGACUUGAUGGUCAAAACAUUAACUUGUCAUAUAUGCAAAAGAAAGUGUGUAUUGAAUGCAAGUGAGCAUGUGUAUAAUUUAGUGUGUGAUUUGAAGAUCAAAACACAUGGCAAUAUGCCAAAAAAAGUGCCCACCUACCAGAGCAGGAGAAUUCAUACACCACGGCCUGCAUACGACUAGAAACUCUGCCGUUCACGGGCCAGUAUGCAGGCCCGUGGUGCAGAAUAUCUCUACUGCUAGUAGGCCCCACGGGGCAGAGGGGACGAGAGUUAGGCAAUGUACUGCCUGCAUAUGAUAGGAGCUUGGGAGGGGAGUCGCAGCCGGGUAUAUAAACCGGUGCGGCGCUCUCUCGCUUGGCGAGGUGGGACUAAACUCCCACCACCCAACGGCUGUGCGCUGCGAUGUGCCCUACGCGGCUCUGCCUUGGGCCCAAUUCGGGCGGGCUGGCCCAGGGCAGCCUUACCCGCGCGCUGAUCUGUUUUAUAUUUUCUUUGUUUUUCACUUCUUAACUCCAAAAUUUCAUUUCUUAUUUAUAUUUCUAAUAUUUAAAAUCAAAUCUCUUUUUUUUCUAUAUUAUUUCUAACAGUGUUUACUAAAAUUUAAAAAAUAUGCCAAAUUCUGUUGUGUUUUAUUUCAUUUGUUCGUUCUAUUUUUUAUAUUGAUAAUAUUUACAAAAUAUAUACUAAAAUAUUUCCAAAAUGUAAGAUAAUAUGUCAUCUCCUAUUUCACUUCUUCAUUCUGAUAGAUCUUAUCUUUUUUACAUUUGAAUUAUUUUUUAAAUGUAACAUAAUAUGUUGUCCUUCCUAAUUAUAAAUUUUAUUUUCUGUUUGAUACUUGAAAUCUUAUUAAAUCAAAUCUAGUUGGGACAAUCGCAUGCAUGCCUCCACAUGCACCAUGUACUAGAAGCAGGUUUAUCUUCUCGGUCACACCAAUUGAGACAAAACUGUAUGCACACCCUACAAUGACUAUGGCAAGCAUGCAUGGCGAGUACCGUUCAUUUCCGACACUCGAUGCAUUUUCUAGGGUUUUUCCGGCGACAAAACCCUACAACACUGCCCCCACGUGACGCAACGUGCGUUUUGUGUCCGAAUUUAUGCACACCUUGCCUGGGGGACCACAUUGGCCGUGCCCACAUGGUCCCAAAAGUUGGGGUCAUCUCAUGCAUGCCUCCACAUGCACCAUGUACAAGCAGGACCAUUUGGGUCUGCCGGAGGGCAGGUCUGAAAUUGGUUUUCCUUGACGGUCCCACCAAAUGAUCCCAAACUUUAUGCAUACCCUAGGAUGACCAUCGCAUGCAUGCAUGAUAAGUAUCGUUNNNNNNNNNNNNNNNNNNNNNNNNNNNNNNNNNNNNNNNNNNNNNNNNNNNNNNNNNNNNNNNNNNNNNNNNNNNNNNNNNNNNNNNNNNNNNNNNNNNNNNNNNNNNNNNNNNNNNNNNNNNNNNNNNNNNNNNNNNNNNNNNNNNNNNNNNNNNNNNNNNNNNNNNNNNNNNNNNNNNNNNNNNNNNNNNNNNNNNNNNNNNNNNNNNNNNNNNNNNNNNNNNNNNNNNNNNNNNNNNNNNNNNNNNNNNNNNNNNNNNNNNNNNNNNNNNNNNNNNNNNNNNNNNNNNNNNNNNNNNNNNNNNNNNNNNNNNNNNNNNNNNNNNNNNNNNNNNNNNAGGUUUUCCGUCCCGGUCCCACCAAAUGAUCCCAAACUUUAUGCACACCCUAGGAUAACCAUGGCAUGCAUGCAUGACAAGUAUCGUUCAUUUCCGACACUCGAUGCAUUUUCUAGGGUUUUUUCGGCGACAAAACCCUACAACACGGCUCCCACGUGACGCAACGUGCGUUUUGUGUCCGAUUUUGUGCACACCUUGCCUGGGGGACCACAUUGGCCAUGCCCACAUGGUCCCAAAAGUUGGGGUUAUCUCAUCCAUGCCUCCACAAGCACCAUGUACAAGCAUGAACAUUCGGGUCUGCUGGAGGGCAGGUCUGAAAGUGGUUUUUCUUACCGGUCCCACCAAUUAGGAAGUCAUAAAUAGGACAACAUUUAAUCAUACAUAUUUUAAAUGAAAUUGAAAACAAUGAUAAGAAGUGAAAUGGAAUUAUGAAACAUGAACAAAAAAAUAGGAAUAAGAAGGAGAAAACAUAAAAUAACAGGAAAACCAAAUUACAAGGGAAAGAGGAACAAUACAUUUGAAUGUAUAAUAUUGUAGAAAUGAUAGAGAUACUAUAAAUAUUGUUGAACAUAUACAAGUAUACAAUAACUAAUAGGUGUCACAAAGAUUUUUUUGAGGGAAGAACCAAUGAUAUUUAUUUUGAGGAAAGAAACAAUGUAGGUAGGUGGCCCAGCCCAGACCGCAAAUAACUGUCGGAUGCAUAUUGUGGGGGCCCACAUCGCUGCGCUUUCCAUGCACGUCGAUCACACGCACGUCAAUCACAGGAGUAGUUGCCGUUCUGUUACACAAUUCUAGGAUCGUGCUAAUCCAUAUGUUCCUAAUCCCUACGAUUGAGGAGCACGUUCAGCCUCGCUUCAACGGAGGAAAAUAUAGAUCGCGAGAUUGGCCACAGGGAAGUUACGACGACCUAGGAGUCGACCUCGUAUAUAUUCUCCUCCUCCUCGCACAUGUCGUCGACUAGAUCGCCUCCUGCCGGCGAGUCGUCGACAGCUCCGUCCGCCGCAUCCCACACGCCACAAAAACCCCGAGAAGAUCAAGGUCGUCCGCACGUGCAGGCCGACCUCGACGAACUACGUCGACAACGCAUCGCCGACUUCUUUCAUCUUCGUCGACCGAUCAAGUAAAUUGUCCUCCUUACCUCGCGCCUUCAUAGCAAGCUAGUUCCUCCGUCUCGUUGCUUUGAUGGACUUAGGUUUACCACAUAUUUUCAACUAGUAUCAACUCGACUAGAUGCGUUCUGACCAGAUGGCCUAGAUGAAAUAAAUCUUUGGUUCUUUCAUAGCAUGGUAGAAUAAGAUGUUGUUUCUCGAGAAGCGUGAUGCAAUAGAUUUUUUGUCACAUGAUCCAAUUAUAUUUUUGUCACACGAUCCAAUUAUAUUGUUGUGCACAUAGAACAUUAAAGAGUUAUAAGCAUUAGAUGUUGAUGAACCUCAAAUAGGUACCAUUGCUAUAGACUCUAGUUAUUUACAGCUGAUCAAUUUAUCAAUGUGUUAAUAAGACAACCAGACGAAUUAGUUACAGUUUACCAUAUUAAAUUUAUUGAUUAUAUAAUUUAUCUGAUACUCAAAGAACUUGAUCAGAUGCAAGUAAAUUCAAUUACCAAUUGUAGUUAUUUUUUUAUUGCCUCAUGUCAGCACACACUUGGCUGCAUGUUGCAGUAUACAUGGUGCUAGUUUUAUAUUUGCAUUAGUGUUAUUUUUGCAUUAGUGUUAUUUUUGCAUUAGUGUUAGCUACUGCCAGAAAGUUUUAUAUUUUUGCAUGUCUAUUGUUAUUUUUGCUUUAGUGUUCGCUAAUGUCACGAAGUUAUAUAUUUUCUUUCAACAGGAUGGACGAGCUGAAUGGAGAAAUAGUAUGCGACGUUGAAAAAUGGUGCAAGCUUGUUGCAGCUCUAUCGAGCGGUCAACGCGCUAGAGUGGCUGAUACAACAUUGCGCAGCAUGCUGCAGAUACCAUCUAUUAAGAUGCAUACCCUACUGAUUAGGUAUAUGAUUGAGAAUUUUCAGGCCAGCACCGCCAGAUUCAUUAUACAAGAGCAGGUUGGGGAGGUGACUCUCGGUGCGGUCGACGUCGAGUGCAUCUUUAACCUCGAGAACCAAGGACUGUCCGCUUCGGACAUUCUGACUGAAGAAGGUGAGGACAUCAAGGAGCGGGUGCCGCCACAAUUUCUCAGUAAGACAUCAGAAAACAUAGUUCUCAUUGAGGACAUAAUUAAAAGUAAAUCCACGGACGACGAUUUCCUUCGGAAAGUAGUCCUUGUCCUGUUAGGAACAAUUAUUGCUCCCAUGUCGCGCAAGAUUGUGCCAAAGCAGUACUACGCUAUGGUCGAUGAUGUGAAACGUAUUUCAAAGAUUAACUGGAAUGCCUUCACCAUGCGUCUUCUCCUUGAUUGCCUUCGCAUAGUGAAGAAAGGCAAACACCUCCGCUAAUGGCCGAAAGGCAAUUUGGCUCUCUUGCAGGUACACAUAUGAGACCUGUUGCAUAAUGUCAAUUAUCAUAUCAUUGCAAUUUUAUGUGAUGUAUUGUACUAACUCUAAAUCCUUAUAUUUUUUUGUAGUACUUGUACUGGGAGAAGGUGCAACCGGUCGAAGGCGAAUGCGCCUAUAAUCCCAACUUGUCCAUACAACCUCUUAUGAGGAACUGGACCGAAGGUGCAGCCACUAGGAGAGAUCGGUUCGACUAUGACAAUGGGCGCGGCCGUGGUAACGUGAGGGUAAGUCAUUGUGUUCCGUCUUUCUUAAAUGUUUUGUAACUUAAUAAUAUUUAUUUUUUAUUCAUCACAUGUACUUCAAUAUCGCAUGCAGAUCGAAAAUAAUAUCACCCAGGAGUAUAGGGCUCAGGAGCCCAACAUCCCAAAUAAUGCGCCUACCAUGAAGCCAAAAACCAAGCCUGCAAAUGGAAACGCAAAGAAGUCGACGACAUCCCCAAUGUCGGAAGAUUUGAUGGAGUUUCUAAUGAAGCGGUGCAUGGACUUCAUACACACCCAGAUGAGGGAAAUCCCUGAUCAAGUUGCUGAGGUGUCACACCCAAACUUUCUAGUUUACAGUAUGUUUGAUGUUUUAAACCAUGCUAGCAUUACUAAAUUUAUAUUUCUAUUGCAGAGGUUGUUGGAGAAGUUGAACAAAUCAGGUGUCAUGUACAAGCCGGCUGCUGCCGUGCCAUCCGCGGACAAUGAUGUGGAUGAAGAACUGGAUUCGUUCGAGAACGGUCCAUAUGAAAAGAAGGAAUUCAUGUACAAGGAUGACAUAGACUCACGCGGAGAGCCUGUCAUUGACAUGACGCAGCCUGAUGAAGUGGUUCCCAACCAUAAAACCAUACCUGAGGUACUAUGUAUAUAUAUUUCUAUCUAUAAUUUUCUCCUUUAAUUUAUUUACGUGCUGAAAUGUUCACACGAUUUUGUUUGCGAAACAGAAAACCCCACCGAAGAUGAAUGGACACAAAGAAGCUUCACCUAUUAGGCGUAAUGAUGAAUGUGGCGCUACACCCGAAAACCCUUGGGUCGUUGGUACUUCUACUCAAGCACCUUCAUCGGACAUAGACAUUUGUCCAUCUUCUGUCAGCAAGUUCAUGGCUAAGGCGAAUGGAAAAAAGGCUGCAACAAUCGAUAAGGAUGAGGAAGUUAUGUCCGGUAAGAGCAAGAGGACCGUUCCUAAGAAAUUUGAAUCCCCCUACGCACUUGACAAGCCCAGCAGGCGUCCCAACCAUGGUCAGAAACCCUCCGGUACUUCUACUGCUACUAGAGGUAUCGUAACUAACUUUCUUAUUUUUUUAUAUGCUACAAAUGCAUAUGAUCACCAUUGUUGACGUUCAUAUUAUUUCAUGCAGCUCUGUUUUCUAAAAAUCAUGAGCCGGAGGUUGUGGCAGAUGAGUUGACGCCGGAAAUAAUUGAUGCAGCUGUUUCAUUUGUCGAGUUAGCUGCUAGCACCGAGAAGAAUAAGGGGAAGAAAGUUUACUACAGUGAAGGGCGUGGCAUAUCUCUAACUUCCGAAAGGAUUCGACCGGUACUAACUCACAGAUGGCUGUCGGACGAUGUAAGUACUACUUGCAUGUCCUGUUAUUAAAAUUCUCAACUUUCAACAUGUAAUGCCCUGAUAUUCUAUGAAGGUUAUUGAUGCUUAUAUGGGACAUUUGGAGCUGUGCGUUGGUCAUGAUCGUUACCUCUGUCCAGCGUGGAGGUCCAAAUUCCUUGUAGAUCGUGCUAUCGCAUGAGACGAUCCAUUGCCGUCGAGCUACAACAUGGAUAGUGCUCUGUCCAAAGCUGGAGCAGUUAAUAGAGUCACGAAAGAGUAUACUGUGCGUGAUAAGGUACGUCAUGUUUGUAAUUCUUCACUACAGGACAUUUCAUCAAGUAUUUUGUUUGAUCCACAAUGGUUUUUUGCACUGUAGACAUAUAUCGCGUUGAAUAUCGACAAUGCCCACUGGAUGACUGUGGUCAUGCACAUGAUCAAGCAAGAAUUCCAAGUUCUCGAGUCGCUCUAUCCUCUGGACCUGACAGAAAAGACUGUGAAAGCACUGGUAAUAUAACAAAAAUUUGUACCAUUGGUCUUCCAUGUUGUUUAUUAUUCAUCUUUAACACUAUCCUCUUUAUAGCGAAUGGCUAUAGCACACGAUAUGCACCUAGCAAAUCUUAUUACACCAGGGAAAUAUCCGGACGUAAGUAAGUGGCCUAUCAACGAGUAUGACAUGCCCCAGCAAGAGGAUGGGUGAGUUAAUAGGACAUCAUGCACAUUCAAACAACAACACACAUGUUCGAAUUGCCCACCGCUAAUGUUUGCAUAUGUACCAGGAACUCUUGUGGCCUUUUUGUCAUAGAAUGUCUAGAACAUUGGGACAGGGACCGAAUGACCCGCGAUUUUUCACAUGCUGUUAUUUACGUUUGUAGAGUAGCUAGUAUGGUCGUGUAGCAACUUCGGUUGAUGUAACCUUUAUGUCAUUUUGUGCAGGCCACCGUUGACGCAAGGAGAAGACGUUUCGCCGCCGAGUUGAUUAUGUCACCUUCGAACACGAUGGAGUGUGUGAAGAACAAAAUUCGCGAAAUCGCAAGGAAAAGGCGUGCCUGAAGAAUUCAUGCGGCAUGCAAGAUUCAAGUUUUAGUGGUUUGGAUUUAGUCCGGUCGAAGGUUUCGACGGCAUGAUUAUCUUAGGGUUUCUAUCAUUUUUAUGUAAUAAACAGGGCAUCUCGAAUAUUCUGACACAUACAUGUGUAUGUGUCUGUCAGACAAUUCGCUCGUACCAGACAAUUCGGUCAUACAAUUCGCUCGGAGAAGACAAUUUGGUCGUACCAAUAAAGUUUUGGCUUCACUUAUCAGUUGUUCUUGCUUAAUAUUUUUCUCGUUCUCCAAUUUUUUAUAAUUGUAUUUUUCACAUUAAUAGUAUUCGCAUUCUAUUUUUCUCUUCAACUGCUCCAAAUUUUCACAUUCUUUACUUUUUUAAAACUCUACCAAGCUUAGCCUUCUGCCUUAGCUAUCUGCAUGUCAUCAUCUUGCAUAAUCUCCUGGUAAUUCCCCCACAUCACAUGAUUAUGAAAAGUAGUCAUGUUAGCUAAGUAAAUAUAUCGAGCCAAAACGUAAUAUUACACAGAUGAAAAUUAGUCAUGUCAGCUCGUUGGCUCUAUCGCGUGUUAUCAGGCAUCAUGUUUUUCUAUUUUGUUUUACAAACCCGUCGUUUUUUUAUUGUAUGUAUAAUUAAUUCUUUUGUACUCACCAUGAUGCCGGGCACGUCCCAUCUAACCACGCGAGGGGCCCCACAGGCGGCCUAUCGUGCCGGCAGUGCUACACCAGCCCAUUUUGCCAGGUUCACAUCGAUCUUUCCCGUUUUCUCGUUUCCCUUUCCAAAUCCCCAGCCCUCUCUCUCCAUUUGCGCCUCCAAAUCUCGACGGCGAAAGCAUGACAGCGAGCUGGGCGUCGGGCGGCGGCGGCUGCGGCGAGAAGAGCGGUGGCGACCGCAAGUUAGGUCGAACCCUGGGUCCAGGAAGCAUGUGGGGCGGAUUCAGUGGCACAGGAGGCAGCGGCGGUGGAUCGAGUGGAACAGGGGACGGGGGUUUCGUGGGCGGCGGCGGGCCGGGAGAACCCAUGGCUAGGGUUUCUUCAGUGCUACACUUUGGUGGCAAAAAGGUAAGUUCUUUACCGUUGUUCUUUACAUCCCAGCAUUAUCGCCCACAAUUCAUGACCUGUGGCCAUGACAAGCUCCAUCUAUGUGGUCAUCAGGAAACUCCUGGUGGCCGUGUCUACAUAGAUGCAGACAAUUUUGGCAGCGCAUUCGUGGGACGUGUGUUUGAGGUUAGUCUACAGAGCAUGAUCUUCAAACUAGUACUGCUAUUGCGGUCAAGCUGCAAAAAAGUUCAGUGUUUAACGCUUGCAGUGACAAGUUCAGUUAUAAAAUGACUUGAAUUGCUCAUGAUUUAUUUAGGAUGAUAUCACUUCUGAGUAUGUUGAAUGGGUUGAUGGGGAGUGGGAUAGCAAAGCAAAGUCAGUCAUUAAGUAUCUUGCCAUGAAGAACAAGAAAUUGGAGACUAAGACUACAGAAUAUGAAGCUGAAAUUAAAAGGAAUGAGAAAGAAAAGAGGGCAAUGGUUAAGAUGCACAAGGAAAUAUUGCUCUAUAGGGAUAGGAUUUUAGGAUUUGGAGGGCUUCUAUAUCUUGGCAUGCUAGCCAUUAUGAUUGCUGUCAUAGUUAGCAAGUAGAUUGUUCAAGUUAUUGACAUCAUUGUAAUUGACAUGAUGAAAUGCUGGUGAAUUAUUUGCUAUUCAGUUUAUGGGCAAAGUGUAACAGAGAUUGCAGCAUAAAUAACAUGGGGCCAUCAUGAUUGGUAGACAAUGCACUUUUGGCAUGUUCUAUAUUCGGCAGACAAUGCACUUUUGGCAUGUUCUAUAUUUGGUAAGUGAUGCACAUGUGCACAUCACCUUGCAACACUACUGAUUUAUGCAGCAGCCCAAUUCAUUGUGUUGUUGCAACAUAGGAGCAACAUCUAGCAGCACUGACACCUUUGAUGCAACACUGAAGCAAAGCAACAGUACACAUUCAAUAAUCUGAAAUUUAACUGAACUUGACACUUAGGGUGAGCAGUAGAUAUUCAGUUCUUCAGCCACAAAGAAGCCGACCAAACCGUACCGAUUGCAUAACUUAUAUGCUUACAUAUAAAAGCAUACAUAACCAACAUCAAACCCAAAAUAAUGUUAACUUAUAUGCUGAAACAUACAACAGCAUAACUAACUUAAGAUAACCAGCAGCUUCCUCCUCCUUCAGCAACUGUGCCCAUCUUCACUUCUUCAGAAAUUUGAGGCGGCGUGAGCGGCGCACCACACACGGAGAAGCCUUCUUCUUGACCGCCGUCCUAUUCGACAGCUGCGCUACCUGAUCCUGAGCCACCACCUCCUCUUCCACCUUCACUAUGUCAGGGAGGAGGGGAAGGAGCUCGACGUCGAUGGGCAUUGUCUUGCCACCCUCGACGGCUACCGGCGCUACCAUCUGCACGGCGUCCUCCUCGCCCUCCUCAUGGUCAUCAGGGAUGACCAGUACCUCCUCCACGUCGUCCUCCAUGACGUCGGAGCGCAAUGGCAGGACUGGCUUCGGCACGUGGCGGACCUGGUAGUCCGGGCUGACGGGCGCAGGGAGAGCGAGCUCGACGUCGACGCGCUCCGCCCUCGACGUGACGCGUGCUGGAUCUGGCCGCAGUGUCAUGGUGGUGGAGCGGUACAUCCACCACCUUGCGCGUUGAACAGGGGAGUCGCUCAGCGUGGCCUCUCGCAUUGCCCACACGAGGCGGAGAGCCGGCGGCACACCGCGGCCAUAGGGGAAGGCGCACUUCUUCUUGGCGUCGGUGAGGACUUUGACGAGGCCACGCGCGUGGUUGACCAACAUCUCCGUGCUGGGGAACCAGCCGCACACCUCCGUCAGCUGCGCGCCACCCCUCGUCAUCGCCGGCGAGGUCCAUCAUCGCUCUCUACCAGCCGAAGCUUCUCUCCAUGGAGGCGGCUGCAGCAGUCGCCGACGAGGGUUUUCUCGAUCUACUGUAGGUGGGGAUAAGAGGGGAGUUCGAACCGGCGCCCGUGGGAGUUGGGUGAGUGUGUGGUGGGGAGGAGAGUGGUACAGUUACUUAUUUAAUGGCAUUUAGGACGUGGGUAGGGGAAAUGUACAAUAUUCUUUCUACCUUCUGCCCCGGUCAUAACACAGUAAAGAAUUUUUUUGAUUUUUGUUUAGAGGGAAACAUCUUACUUUAUUUAAACAAAGUCUGGGAUCUCGUCUGCUAAUACACUAAGGAUACAAUCAGGGGCCGAAAGCCUCCAAACCAAAUAAACACAAUCGCCUAGAGCUACCUUAGCCAAAGUAUGAGCCGGCCGAUUAACACAGUAAAUAAUUGAAGCAAGUGUUCUACUCUUCUUCCUUCUCCACUUUUCUGCACAUGAUAAAAGACAAGCUAAGUUAAUGAAUGAUACAAAAUUUAAUAAUCCACAAUGCAUACAAACACUUACUUCUGAUUUAGUUUGCAUUUCUUGCUACGUCUAGCGUGUCCUACCAAUUUGCAAGCGCCGCACCGGGUUUUCAAGUCAUCAAAAGAGAGUGGUCUACCAUUUUUCGAGACAAGGCGCCUCUCAUCUACCUUUGUUGCACCUUUGCUUGACACUUUCAUAGGAUCUUUAACCGCAAUCAUGUUGCCUUCACCAUCGUCCACAUAUUCAACUGCACACUUACUGAUGUCAUUUGUUUGCUUCAACAAAUUUUCCUGUAGCAGAUCAUACUCAUGACUCUUAGCUAUCACAGCCUUCAAACUCUCCUGUAAUUGAUCCCACAAAGCAGGGUGUUUGCAUGCCGCAUGCAUAGCUUCAUACGCUAACACACUGACCUGGCUAUAUUUCAUUCUUUCCCCGGCCCCAGUCCAACCAAAUCCCAACAGAUCGCUUGUGCGCCUCGCGGGCAGUCCCAACCUUGCUUCUUUCGUGAACCGAACAAGAACUAAACACUUUGGUAUUUCAGAUAUGUUCAAGUGCUUCCGUACAUGGAAUAUGUGCUUGCAAGGUAGACCCUUUUGAAUCAUUCUUCUGCAGCUGCACCUUAUAGUUUCUGCGGAAUUUACUGGUGUAUACUCCACCCAAAAACGACACUUCCGGUUAUUCUUCCAGGCCACGAUGUACUGCUAUGAUCCGUCUCCCAGCUUAAUUUCUACAAUCUCCAUGCCGUCAAUUUUUCUAAGAUCAUCUUGCAACAUAUAGAAGUUUGCUGGAGUGAAGACGUGACAAGCAGCUAUCUCAAGUUCCCUCCAGCUAGUAACUGGCACCGGCAAACUCUGUGAGGCCGUGCAGUCAUCUCGCGCCUCGUUUUCACGGAUACGCACAACGGCGUUCUCAUAGUGCAAAAUCAUAUCCACCAGAGUCAUUUCACCGUCUAGGCGGAGGUGAAGGCAUGAGUUCAGGCUUUCACUCCGCUGGUUGCUUUUCAUGCCAAGCCAAAAUCCCUCUGUUAGAUAAGCCGCGGCCCAUAGUCUUCUCUUUUUAUACAUCCGUCUCAACCAUGUUACAGUUUUUCCCGACUGCCAUCUUUUGGAAAAUGCGUGCCAUCUCUCCUCAAAUGUGGCCGUGGACGUGCUGUAGUACAGAAGAGUUCGGAACUCCUUCAAGGACUUGUGACUGAGGUGAAUCUUCAUAUUUUUCUCUAUGUGCCACAUACAUAUACGGUACCACACGUCUGGCAAGACUUCGCGAAUUGCCUUGAUCAUCGCAGCGUCGGCGUCUGUGAUAACACUCUUAGGCAUCUUUUGACACAUGGACCUCAAAAAAGUCUGCAGAAGCCACACGUAUGUCUCCUCGGUCUCGUCUGAAACUAUGGCACAACCAAAAACAAUGGUCUUCCGAUGAUUGUUAAGACCAACAAAAGGUAUGAAUGGCAUUACCAUAGCGGUUCAUCUUGUACGUGCUGUCAAAUACAAGCACGUCGCCGAAGUCCUCAUAGUCAUGACGAGACUGGGAGUCGCACCAGAACAUCCUAUUCAAAUGUCCUUCCUUAUCUAGCUUGUACUCGAAAAAGAAGCUAGGAUCCCUCUGUUUCCUACUGGCCAUGAUGCCUAUGGCUGUGGCAGCAUCACCUUUUGAAAGCAGCUUCCUCUUCUCCCUUGCGCAAAGGUUGUAUAUUUCAUGCCUGGUAAAACCAACACCGCCGUACCAUACAUGUUUGCUGAUGAAGCAAUCCAUCAUGUCGUGAAUUCUAAUCUCUGCAGCUCCCAUGGACAUUAUCUCAUGCUUUUGGUACUCUUUGAUUUUUCUGUGGGACCAAAGAAAAGGUACCUCGUCCGGUCCUGCCAACAUAUGGCUAUGCUUGUCCUCAAAACUUUCAACAUACCAAACCCCACGCUUUUGGUCAAGCUUGACGGUCAGGUGCGCUUCGCAAAAGCAGCAUGUCUCGGCUCUGAGCCUCUGGCUGUGUCCUUCCUCGGUUAGCAAUUUGCUGUCAUGUUUCCCUUGUCUCGAACAAACAAACCGCCUAUAACGCAUAUGACGUGACUCCGUUUUGCUAUACCUGGCCUUAUUCUUUCUAAUGCUGAAACCAUUAUCUCUAGCAUAGCUGUUGUAGAAAUCAUACGCAGCAUCGUGAGAUGUAAAGGUCAUUUCCAUUAUCUGCAUGAACAUAUCCCUCUUAUCAUCUGCACUGGCAGUAUCUUGGACAUUCUUUGCCCCAUCAUCUUGUGUCACCUACACAAUCAAACCACAGCCAUGAAAACAGUUUUUAUGGUUUAACAUUACUUCCAUAGAAUAUUGAUUACACACAUACCUCACUCAUGAUGACCGACGACUGGGACUCCCCAGAAUCAGGUGCAUCUAAUGAUUCGUCGUUAAGGCCUGUCUCCGCGCCGGAUUCACCGAAAUAGUCGUACGCAUUAUGACAUUCGGAAAUGAACUGGAAAAAUACAACACAAAUACAUAAUUACUUAUCAUAUAAUAUUCCAGAAGAAAUUCAAUUUGCAUGCCAAGAAAAUUUUUCACUUACGUACCUGACUAAUGUAAUCUUCAUUCGAGAGCUCCGAGUUGUUUUCCUGAUCAUCAUCAAGCUCAUCGAUCUAUAAAUUUUCAACACAAAGAUUUAAUGUUGUCGGAUGCCACCAAAAAAUUACAACAUGACAAUGCCACUCACAUUAAGAUCGUCCCAUUCAUUCCCAUUCUCUGACCAAUCUUCACGAUCUGAAUUUUCAUUAUCUGACCAAUCUUCUACCCAGUCUUUCAUCAGUUCUCCAAACUCCAUGUCUACCAUGAUAUCAGUUAACUCCUCGUCCGCCAUUUCCUACAACCAAUAAUAUGUAUCAUCACAUGUGCAAACAUUAUCAAUGAUGAAAUAUACAACACAUAGCACACGAUCACGGAUGUUAUGUAAACAACCGCAACCGAGGCCGUUCAGAUCUGCCAAACUUAGUAAGGAAGAUGGCCACGGCACCCGUCGUGAUCACUUUCAAUCACGAGGAACUGCACGAUCUCGAAACCUAGCUAGAUCUGUGAUUACCUCUGCUGCCGGAUACCUAGGUUAGCCGCCACAUCAAAUAACGAUACUGGUGGUGCGCACAGCCGACGGCAACCGACGCUACGUGAACCCAGAUCACGAGGAGCAGCACUACCGGAACAAGAUCCACGAUCGCAUGCGCCGCCGGGUAGCUAGGUUACCCGCCCCGCUAGGUUAACCACUACCACUGGCGGCGGCAGUUCGUUUGAUGUUGCCGCGAGCGACACUAGAGGGGGGACGCGGGAUGCGGUACCUGUGCGUGCUUGUUGGAGAUUCACGACUUUGUCGCACCCGCUGUCCGACGAGAUCGCCGACGACGAGAUAGCCGCCGCUAGAGAUCUACUACGUGACUUAUGGAGCUGCGUCAAUGCUCGCGAGAUUGAUGGAGCUGCGUGAAUGAUUGGAUUCGGCAGGUCUUACGUGGACGUGGGGUCGUGUGAUGUUUUUUUUCGGACCAGGGUACUGUACGUAUACGGUCUGGGUUAUACAGGGCUUGGAUCUGGGCUACGGCGGGCCAGGAAAAAAAAACUCGCGGGGACAAAAAUACCCCUCCGAAAUUAGGUUAGGGGUGAGCACCGGAGCAGGGCUCGUCGAAGGGAUGCUGAGGCUUUGGCCGGGCACAACGGCCACCUGCACAACGUGGGCUACCUCAGCUCGCAACUGAUGGAGCGACGACGUUUACCGGCCGCCAGAUGCAGGUGCACGGCCACGAUGGCGGCCAUGGACGGCGUAGCGGUGCACGGACAUCGUGGUGGCGGUGGGAAGCUGCGGCAAGUACCAACGAUAGUGGCUUGGGUCGGUGCGGCAGUGAGGAUUUGACGAUACAGAUGCAGAGGUUGGGGCAGCACGAAUGACUUGGUCAGUGUUUUCUUCCCUGAUUAAAAAUGGACGCGUCUAACGAGUGGCCGUUGGCUCGUUAGACAUCCGGAGUGGCCGGUCGUAUAUGGAAAUAUUUUGUCUCCCCUAAUCCAUAUAUGAGCAAAAGUAUCAUGUAAACAGGGAAAAAGGAAGAAAGUGCCCAUAUGAACAUGUGUGAACGCAUUUAAUUCGGGUUUUAGAUUUUUCAAAAAGCUAUAACUUUUGAACGGCGCAUCAGAAUUAAGAUUCAUUUUCACCGUUGGAAUCCUCACGGUGUGCUCUUCAAAACCAGAUCCCGCAUGAGUAUGUUUCGACGAAUUUUUGUGUGUGCAAUUUACUCCCCGUUUUGUGCAACUGCCUAGCCGUCGAUGUGCAACUACCUCAGAGUCGACGUGUAACUUUUUUCUACUCGUGGACAAGCAGUUUUCAGUGAUGUGAACGAGAGUGAACGCGUUUACUUCGGGUUCUAUUUUCCUAAAAAUGUCUUAACUUUUGAAACAAAUGUCAAAAUUAAGAUUCUCUUUUCUGUUGGAAUCCGCAUGCUUAUCGAAACUAGAUCCCACAUGGGUAUGUUUCGACAACCUUUUUCUGUGCAAUUUACUGCCUAUUUGGUGCAAUCUAGCUUUCAGUGUGCAGCUACCAAAAAGUCAAUGUGCAACCUUUCCUCAUACCUGUAGACAUGCAGUUUUCAUUGUUGAAGCCUUUACCCCAAAUUAUCCGCUACCAGUGAGAUGUGCAACUUCGUCAGCUGCACUUGCCAACUGCCUAGUAGUCGGUGUGCAAAUUUUCUCUCUGCCCACGGAUGUGCAGUUUUCAUUUUGUUCGAUGCCUGGGCCAAGUGCCUACCAGUGGAUGUGCAACUUCGUCUGUUGUCCCGGCCAACUACGCCACCGAGAGCGUGCAACUCCGUGAUUGUGCACGUGCGACAAUCGCGUGUGAGAACUCCCGCAACCAUGAUUGUGCGACUAUGUCGCCCGUGUGCAACUCCCGCAGCCGUGUGUGAACUACUAUCCCGCGAGCGUGUGCAAUCCAGGUAUGUGCGUAAGAAACUAUGCCGAUCAGGGUGUCCAACUCCACAGUCGCACAUGAGCAACUACUCUGUCACGCAUGUGCAACUCCCGCAGACCGUGCAUGAGCAACUAGGCCGAGGAGAGUGUGCAACUCCACAACUGUGCUUGUGCGACUAUGCCGAAGAGAGUGUGCAACUCGCGUACCCGUGCAUGAGCUACUAUGCCGAUGAAAGUGGGCAAAUCCGAAAUCGUGCUUGAGAAACUAUCCGAUGAGAGUGUGCAACUCAGUGGCCCUGUGUGGGCUACUGCCCCAAGGAGAGUGUGCAGCUUCAUGGUCCCGUGUGUGUGACUAUGUCGUCGCACGUGUGCAACUCCGGUAGUCAUGUGUGAGCUAUUAUGCCGACGAGAGUGUGCACCUCCGCGGCAUAUGUGUGCAACUAUUUUGUCGAGAGCGUGCAACUCUGUGGCCGUGCAUGUGCGACUGUGCGGGUGAGAGUGUGCAACUUCGCGGUCGUGCGUGUGUGACUAUGCGAAAAAGAGUGCAACUCUACUCCCUUGUGUGUGCGACUAUGCCGACGAGAGUGUGCAACUCCACAGUCGUGUGUCAGCUACUACGCCGACGAGAGUGUGCAACUCCGUGGUCGUGCACGUACGACUAUGUCGACGCGCAUAUGCAAGUCCGGCAGUUGUGCGUAACCUACUUGCCGACGAGAGUGUGCACUUCCGCGACCGCUCGUGUGCGACUAUGCCGACGAGAGUAUGCAACUAUAUGGUCGUGCGGGUGCGACUAUGCAGACGAGUGCACAACUCUGUUGUCACGCAUGUGUGACUAUGCCAACGGGAGUGUGCAACUUCGAGCUCGUGCGUGAGCUACUACGCCAACGAGAAUGUGCAACUCUUGGUCCUGUGUCUGCGACUAUACCACCGCACAUGUGCAACUUCGCAGUCGUGUGUGAAGUACUAUCCCGACGAGAGUGUGCAACUCUUUGAUCGUGCGUUUGUGACUAUGCAAACAAUAGCUAGUGUGCAACUCUGUGGCUGCGCGUGUGCGAUUGUUCCUACGAGGGUGUGCAAUACCGCAGUCAUCUGUGAGUUACUACGCCGACCAGAGUGUGCAACUCUAUGGUUCUAUGUGCGACUAUGUUGUCGCGGUUGUGCAGCUUCCGCAGUCGUGCGUGAGCUACUAUGCCAACUAGAGUGUGCACCUCCGCGUCUGUUCGAGUGUGCAACUCUGUGCCCGUACGUGUACGACUAUGUGGACGAGAGUGUGCAACUCCAUGGGCGCGUGGGCGACUACGCCUACAAAAGUGUGCAACACUGCGGCUGUGCUGAGCUACUACACCGAUCAGAGUGUGCAACUCUGAGACCAUGUAUGUGCGACUCUGUCAUCACGCUUGUGCAACUACCACAAUCGUAUGUGAGCUACAAUGCCAACGUGAGGACGAGCGACCAGCAUGGUUAAAAAACGUGUUGUUUUCUGAAAUUAAAUGAAACAAGAUCUUAUACAAUCGACCUCUCUAUAAAAGACCUUAUGUGUGUUGCAGUCUCGUCCAAACUACGAUAUUAAUGAAAUGUGCAACUUCGCGUGAUGUCCUAGCCAACUGUCAAGCUGCCGAUGUGCAACUUUGGAUGCCGUCCUGGCCGGCUACUUAAAUACAUAUUGAACAAAACCCCCAAAGUGGUCUUUUAUAAGAUGGCGAAUACUUUAUCAAUCCCGAAAUAAGUGUCUCUCAAACGGAUGUGUUUAACAUGGAUGUAUUUAGUACAGAGUGAGUAGCCAAAAUGUGUUGUCCUCUUUUCUUAAAGAAUAAAACAAGUACAAUUGGGUGAAAAAAGUAAGCAAUUACAAAAAGGAUUGUUGAUCAUGUGCAAUUCUCUAGUGAGCAAAUGAUUGUAUAUAUCCGAUGGGAAAUGGACACCCUUUGCUUAAAAAUGCAUACACAAAAACAUUAAAACUUCGGUGCUGGUUGCUCAUAAUUAUCCAAAAAUGUGCAAAAGGAUUCUCUUGCGAGCUACUAUCUCUUAGUCUCCAUUCUUCAACCAAUAAGUCUCCAUGUAACGACCACCAGCACUAAUCGAAAAAUAAAAUCACCAAAGCUGCACGCAGAUCAUACGCAUUGAUUAUCUUGGCCGUCCCAGUUCAGCAGCUACCCUAUAGAAAAGAUAGAAGUCGCCUGUCCUCGGUGAGCUGUAGCCCCGCCGCCACAUCAAUCCAGUUGCUAUGCGCCUCGUACAAAAUCUACAGCAACCACACACGUAUGAAUCAUGAGUUUCACGGUUGGCCCCGUAGAUCCUCGAGUUGAUCUCAGGCUCGAUGGGGAUGCGGGACGCACCGGCACCGCGGCCCCCGGCUCGAGCGGCAGCGUCGAGCAGAUGGACGAACAAGAGGGAGGAGGAUGUGGGGGUCUUGGAUCCAGAGCGGCGGGGAUGUGCAGAUCCGGCAUCAAUGCAGAGGAGGCCCGACGCGGCGGUGGUCGACUGGGGCGAGCUUGACCCAAGGCGGGGAUCAUCCUUGGCGGCGACCUGUGUGGAGGCGAGAGAAGGAAGAGAGAGGAGGGAAGGCAAGAGUGGACCGGCGUGACGCGAAUCCUGGUCGCCGAUGAGACGGCUGGUCAGCGGAGGAGCACCGGACAGCGACUUGUGAAGCUCUUGGGCGGCGCGCUUCGCCAGAUGGAGGGGAUUAGUUGUUUUCUUUUUCCUGAAGAGAGGCAGCUACUGAAGAGAGACAACGACGACUGUUUUUGUCGGCUAGCGCGGCCGCUCGUUUCUGUUAGAUCGUGCGCGCGCACUUUUUAGAUUUUAGGAUUAAAAAUAUGUUCGUGGUUACACUAAGCUAAACUCCCCUCGACUAUAAAAAAUAAUAAAGCAAAAGAAAAUGCCAAUAAUACCCACGAAACCAACGGUGGAUUUCCUACCAGAAAAAUGUUACACCUACGGGAUUCCCCCUACGGACGCCUGUUACGGGAUUGGGUGUCCUUGUCUCAUUGAUUCUCCUUCCGUGAAUUCAGCUGUGGGACCCAACUCGUGGUACAUCCCAGAUCUCCACGACUCCACCUCAUCUCCUUAAGUACUUUCCGUAAAAUGUCCGUAGCUGUAGCAAAGUUUUUUCCUACCAAUACUACUCCCUCCUACCACUAGUAAUUUUUGUACCGUAAAAAACCUCUAAUUUUCAACUAGUACAAGAUAGCUGCCAUCUCAAACAUUCAAAUUUUAAUACAGCUGGCACCUUCCAGUUCAUCCUAAAUAAUUAUAAGCAGAUAAAAGGUGUUUCAAGUUUUGAGUUCAGACUUCAAAGUGGAGACAGAUCAAUGCCGGCCCGACAAUUCACGUUUGUUGUGUUGCGAGACAGUCCACGUUUGUUGUGUUGCGAGCGACGUGCCUUACUCUGGAGGGAUCUGCGCUUCCACUGCUAUCAUCUUUGUUGACACGCGUAUUUCUCGAGGACCAAUCGACAUGUUGAUCUAGAUAUGCAACAUGAAGAGAAUCGAGCCUAUGCAAAAUUGUUUUGUACCGCCACGAGUCUUUAUGAUCUGCAAGACUGAAGUUGGAUUCCUACGCAUCAUGGAUUCCCGCUGCCUCCCAAGCCACACCCAUGGACAUGCAAGGAGUUCAUAUAUAUAAUGUCUCAGUUGGUAGUCUCCGUUCCAGGUUUAUUUUCGUCCCACCUCACCUGGUUUUUUUGUACCUACUCCCACCUCAGGCUGACCCGCCACGAACCGAAAAAACCACGUACUGAGUCCUCCACCAGCCCCCGCGCUCUUCAGGUCGUAACAGCCGAUCGCGCCCGAGACAAGCGUCGAAGAAAAAAUCUACGACGAUUAACCAGCGAUAAAAAAACCUACGAAAAUUAACCAGCGAAAAAAAACCGGCACGUACGAGCGACGUCACAUGCCCUCCAGCGAGAACGACUCGCACGAGAUCCCUUGGUCGCCGCCCUCGCACUCGCAUCCUUCGCCGCCGCCCUCGCACAUCAAGCCGCCGUCGAUCCCUGCGCUACUACGGGAGCCGCCGCCGAUCCCAUUGAGGAGCCGCCGCCGAUGACGGGAGACGCCGCCUAUCCCGUUGAGGAGCCGCCGCCGAUGACGGGAGACGCCGCACGCUGACCUACCCCUCCCCAAUCCCUAGCAUCGCACCUCUUCCCGUCUGGCGCCUCCUACCUCGGCUGGGCGGUGGCCUCGAGUGCCUCUUCUUCCCCAAUGCGGCCUCAACCAACGACGCUGCACCCCCGUGAUGACUCCGCCCCACGAUUCCCAUCGGUCGGCGCCUCGCCAGCAGUGACCUCCCCCUCCAUGUAUCAUGUGAUCCGGUCGUGCGCCACCGCCUCUCUAGGCGCUUAGAUCCAGGCUUCCAGAAGGGGGUAGGGGUGGAGGCGGCAGCGGAGGGGACAGGGAUGUGGACCGGAGAAACUACAUGGUGGAGGCACAACAAAGCGUUCAAGCACGGCACCCCAUCGCAUGCAGCUGCAGGUAACUACUUCCCUGAGUCUCCUUCGUAGGUGUGGUCACUAUAUUUCCUACUUGUGCAGAUCCUAACUGGUUGUAACUCCGUUCAUUCUCUUCCUAACAGUAGUUCGUCAGCCACAUUGGACUAAUCUAAUGCAUUCGAAUUGCCUUGGUGUAUGAAAAUAACGAUAUAGGCUUGAUGUGUACAAGCGCAUAGCUCCUUAUCUAGCCUAAUCUGAAUGUAGCUUAUAUUCUUAAUCUUUUUAUGCACACUAUUUUAGCCAGCGGCAGGUGUUGGGCACUUUGAGGUAUGCAAACCUUCUCAGAGCAAGGGGAGCAAGAGUACCGGUACUGCAUUUCUUAUCUUCAUCACUCAAAAUUCCCAGAACUAAUCGUGAGCUCUUGCUUUGAUACAGAACUAAUCUUGAAGGUGAUAGCCCUGUUUCUUCCCUGUUUUAGAUCAACCGUUCUUCUUUCUUCCUUGGAGCUCCACUGUUUUGGAUGAACUGGACUAACCCUAGGUAAUUGAUUAAUUUCUCAUGAAAAUAGAAUUUAGAUGAGAGUGAAAUUGAACUGGAGGGUGCUUAAUUCGCCAUUUGUUUCUAGAUGGAGGCUGCAUUAUUUUCUUUAGGAGAGAACCCCUUUUCCGUACUAUACUCUGUACUUCAUAAGGACCUAAAUCCCUCUCAAUAGUCUUGCAAGGUGAACUCAAUUUGUUUUUUUUUGUGCUUAAUUGUGUAGAAGGGAUGAAGGUCAUCCACGAGGUGUCUCAAGGUGAACCCCGUGGUACCCGACCAAGUGGCUGGAGGGAAUGGUGUAUGCUCACAAGGUACGUGAUUUAGCUGUGCUUCUGACUAUAUGUGUGCUCAUGGCCUCAUGGGUUCUGAUAUAGCUGCGCUGGCUAUAUUUCAGUUUGUACAGACCAAUUUGUUUCACUCGGACAAGAAUCCCACGAACCUUAAUGUGGCCUUUAAGUUUCAGGUACAACAUUCUCUUCUGCUCUGUUGCGUCGCGUGCUCCACCCCUGUACCUUAUGAUUCAUGAGUUUUCGGUGACAAAAUGUGUUAUAUUUGUAGAGUCGAUGCUUUAGGAGAGGGAAAAGCAGCUGCCCACGCAAUGGUUUUCCAGUUAUACUCUUUAAAGAAUUUGUAGGAGGAUCCAUUGAUUUAAAAACACAUGGAAAGCAUUCAGUUUAGUAAAUAUUGUAUAUACCCUUCCCCUGAAAAGUUUGACGUUGUUACUUGAGAAAAAGGAAAAUGCCCAUAGAUCAAAUCCGUUGAUACAUUGAUUACUUUUUAGUUAUGCAAAGUUUAAACUUCAGUCAUGCUUUAUUGGUCGUUUCUCCCCAAUAAAUAUCUACCAACUGCAGGUCCUUGGGGUUGGAUGCGGCAACUCGCGGCUCGAAGACAAUCUUUUGUGGUGGGGCGUCGCCGCCGCCGGCGGCACCUGCAUAGACCGUAUCGCUGGGAACGAAGAGAUGCUCCCCUGAUUUGGAGCUGUAGAAAGGAAGUGGUUGCAGACACAAAGUGGGGACACACAACUCCCAGUCAUAAUAUUCUUUAUCUUGGCUCGUUGUUUGGGGAUGGACGCAUCAAUCUGAUGGCGCUCUCCUCCAUGCCAAACGGAUCUUUGGUUCGGAGGCGCGCGGCGCCGACGAUGACAACCUUUCUAUCGACGCAAGGGCAGCAGGAGCUCAUGACGCUGUUGAUGCCACCACCAUGCAUGGGGUUGAUGCAAGGUGGGACAAGUAUGUAUACCAGGCAAAGUGCUCAAUCUGUUUGGCAUUUAGCUUUUUGAUUCUAUUUUUAGUGAGCUUGAUUCAGAUAAUUUGUUUACCUGAUGCCUUCACUCCAGGUAAUCUGUUUGUCUGACAUUUUGCUUUUUGAUUCAGUGCGAUCACUAAUGGGGAGAACAUAAAACUUCAAUUGAGGGCACUGUGAUUCUCUAGCUACAUGUAUCAUGUAAGUAACGUCUUUCCAUGAAUCUUCUGUUCAUUAUAUAACCUCUCAUGCCCUUACAAAAGUAUCUCUGUUGACUCGAUUUCUUUCUGCUGAUUCUUAUAGGGUCACCAACCACACAUGUAAAAACCAUGUCUCCCUACUGUAAUUUGAUGAUUUAUUUACAUGUGGCACAGAAUAGUUCAGAGUUCACUCCGAGAAAGAAUUGCUUUGCAUGUACAUUUGCUAAAAGACGGAUGUGCUGAACUUUCGACGGUUCCGAUUGGUCGCUGACAUAACCUUUCCUCUUUUCAUUGAUAGGUCCAAAAGAGAUCCUUAUUUCGCCUUUGUUUAUAGGUAUUCAACGUGAGGAAUUUUAUACUUUUGGAGUGGAGCUAUCAAAUAUAUAUUAUGAGUUUCUAAAACAUCUAUUAUAAGGUAAAAUCAUUAUAUACAUAUUAUUUUAUUUAUGUUUCAUGUGAGCCGAAUCUACCGCAGCCAUAUGAAAGUUUUGGAAGGCACAGCUUAUUGCAUGAUCACGAAGAAAUUAUUGGAUAGUUCAUCAUUUUUAUGUUUGUAUGAACAAGGAUUUUUGGUUGUUUGGCCUCACAAAGGUUCUUUGUUGAGCAGGAGUUGAACAGAGCUUCCUCUGCCCCGGCAGAUUCUGAGAAAACUAACCAGCAGAGAACAUGAACAAAUAUAGUGAUGAGAAAGGGUGGAGCUGAGUACACCACACAUGGAUAUGAUGGUCUCCCCUAUGUUCUUUUUGGCAAUCCAGUUAAUCACUGACUCAACUUUGUAUGGGUGAGCUAACAAGCCCGUGUUAUGUCUUCCCUCUUUCUUUGUAAGUGGAUGAUUUCAGAUUGCUCGUUAUUAUUCAACAACUAUACUUGUGAUAGAAAAAUGUGCUAAACUAUAGUACUCCCUCCGUCCCAUGAUAAGUUUCGCUAUACUUGUGAAAGAUUAAUGUAUAUUCUUCUAAAGUUAUAAUACAUUCAUGGUCUAUGUAUAUCAUUUGUAUGUUGCAAACCUGAGUCGGGCAGGCAGCAACUGAUUUCUUCAUUUGCUAUCUUUAUAUUCUUCAAAGCAAUAAAAGUGUAUGCGCAUUUGGUGAGAUUAGGGGAAUGUACUGACAAGUGACAAGCAUAUUUCCUUGCGUGUCGUCCUCGAUGCUGCUUCCUUAGUUCACAUAGUACAUUUCUUAAUCACUUUUGUCGCAGAUGUUUGACACAUCCAACUACCAUGUUGAUUUUCUGAUCAUUCUUUGGUCUGGACUAUAUAUGAUAUAUGUAUUAUAUCAUCAGCACAAUGUGAUUCUUCUUCUUCUUGCAGGGCGCUUCCGAUGCACAAAUGGUGGCGGUGAAGCAGCAGGCCCGAGAGAGCGUGCAGGGGAGGAAGGAGUUCCUGGUGGAGGUGCUGAUACUGGCGGUGCUCAGCCACCCUAACUUCGUCAGCCUGAUCGGCUUCUGCACGCAGGGGACAAGCGGCUGCUGUUGUACGAGUACAUGCCCUUCAGCAUCCUGGAGAGUCAUCUCUUUGGUAAUACUUCUCAAAAUUAUUUAGACUUGCUAAUAGAGCAUUCGAUGUUUAGCUUCUGCCAAUCUGUACAUUCUGUUCUUAGAUUUAUUUUCCCUCAAUACCUUGUUUAGUACAAGGAAGGACUGAUAUUAUUCCCCAGCCAGGGUCGUUGAUUAUUGUUUAUUUUAUCAUAGUUCAGUGUUUUUCAUUUGAAAAUAGAUUCAAAUGUGUACAGAGUAAGGGUCGUUAAAUUUUUAUCUAUAGUCCUUCAUCACCAUCAUCGAGCCGCUGGAAGGUGGGAAGCAGAGAGGAUGUGUCAUAGGAGGAUUCCAUCAGAUUAGUUAGAAAUUAGAAUGCCGCUCAACCUAGCAUUAAGGUUGGUUGAGCCUGAUGCACUAGCACAUUGGAUUAGUUGGAAAUCAGAAUGUAUGAUUAAUUAUUAGAGAACUAUACAUGCAGAUUACUCAUGUGUGUCUCGGUACCAUGAUUGCAUAGGAAACACGUUAAUUAUGUAAGAGACGAUAGGAGUAAUGACAUCAUAGCUCGGGCGUCUUGGGAGGAAAGUGGCGUCGGUGGUGCUGAGCCAGAACAAGUUCACUGGCUCUCCUUCUACCUGCUGGAGCAUAUGGACGUGUCACGGAAGCCCUUCGUCGGGCCGUUCCUGUUGGCGCUACUGUCUGUCCAGUACCUGAGCAUAGCCGGCAACAGGUUCACCCAGGCGCUAUCCGACAAGGGGUCCUGCUGGGACAACCUCCGGCUUGUCGACCUGAUGGGGAGCAUCCCCCCCCCCCACUAUCACCAUCCUAUCCAACCAGCCGCCAAGCAUCUACUACUGCUCCCACUGGAUAUGUAACCCAUCUAACUCCCUUCGCCUCCUGUUCUUCCCUUGAUAUUAUCAAUUUGUGUGCAAAUGCUCUUUUUCAGUAACUUAGUUACGGACUCUGAUUUUAUUCUUGUUUCAUGCAGGCACUUAUAUAUGAAUAGCGUGCAUACAUCUGCACAACUGCAUAACAGUCACAAAUGAUUGUUUUGUGAAUCUGCAGAGAAUCUAAUUAUCCAUGUACGGCAAUAGCCAGAUUAAUUUGUUUACCCAAAAUUAUCAAGGUGAAUUCCUUGUUCUCGUUUUCUCAAGUCAAUGAUGCAUGCCAAAUAUCCUACCACUUUACAUUCGCUCUCUUUAAAUCAUUCAUCUAUUUGAUCAGGAAGCAUCUUGCUAUGAUCAAUAAAGACGGAAAAACAGUGCACACAAUAGACGAGUGGCCGAGUACAAUGAGCUUCUUUUAUAGUCAUGGAUUAUUCAUGUGUUAAACAAGUUCUGCUCAUCGAUUAGUUAUUAUCAAACCUGUGGAUUAUGUUUUUACUAUAAUUUAUGAUUUAAUUUGUACCUUGCAAACUCGGCAAGUAAAAAUAUCACUUAUUUAAGAGCCGAGAGAGUGUUGUUAAAAUGUGUCUGAUUACCUUUUAAAUGUUUUACAAGAUUCAGCGAUAUAUGAGUAUACUUCCAUGUCUACUUGAUUUCUAUACAGAAUAUGGAACCAGAUGUAGUGAAAUGUUUGCAUACCAUGUCUGGAUUGAACAAGCUAUUUACUGAUGGCUGAUUUUUAAGGAUGUCUUAUGAAGUUGUGAUUCUGCGAAGAAAAGCUCGUGAGUGGAAUUAUUCAGUAUGGUGCUUGUGAUGUUUCCUUCAUAGCUCUUUUACAAUCAGCCAUUCCUCUAUUAUUAUUCGUAAAUGGUCCUCUAAAUCCUAAAUACACAAUAGAUUUUUUGUUGCAUUCAUCCGUGUGUUACAAUCUAUUUCUUUCAUAUUUUUUCAGCGGUUCCAUUAUAUAUAUUCACUUUGGAAGGCAAAAAUUAUAUGUUGGCUGGUUGCCCGAGAAAUCAAAAAGGCUAAAUCUUGAGUUGUAUGGAGCAUGGUCAUUUGCUUGAAGUUUCCAAUGGACUGUAUAUACCAUUGAAUGAGAGGAAUUAUUCCAUGAGUGUGGACAAAUUGAGCUGAUCGAUUGAUUGAGAAAAUAUUGUGUGGAUGUUCUCAGAUCUCCUUGCUCCACUACUCCUUGGAUUAUUACCUUUGUCCAUAUAUUUUGGUUUAUCUGAUCUGAAGGUAACCUUCUUAAACUAUCCAUAAAAAUAGUUCAAAUUGUUAAUUAAUUGUUUGCUUAAUUGUGUUGUCUAUCUAUUCUUUUGCACAUAGAAGAUAUAACCUGCAAAUCUGCACAUGCUUUUGCCAAUGUAUCCAUCCUGAUAUUUCUUAUAAUGUGGAAGUUAUCAGAGCCCUUUUUUAAGCAUCCACUUUGAGUUCACCGGUGGCAGGUAGCUUGUACAAUACUGAAUUUUCAAGAUAACAAAAUCGGUUAUGUGUUGCAGCAAAAUCGAAUGUGGUAGAGAAAAUAUUCAGGCUUCGUAGCGAAACAAUGCCUCUGUUAGGAUAGUACACCCAGAUCCCCGAUGCAUUUGGUUUAUUAUGAUGUAUUGAUACUGAAGUUUGUACCAUAUCUUGAAUUAUGAUUUCAGCAGUGAUAAUAUACUCUAGAUAAAAGGAUGGACACAUAAGCUUGGGACAUGAUUGUGGCCGCUGUACUUCAAGAAGGUGCGGAGCUACGGUGAGCAGCAGGUUGCAUCAUCAUGGUGGUCGCCCACGACCACGAUGGUGUGCACACCUUGGCACCAGGAAUUGGCUUGGGACGCCGUGGAGGAAGAGAGAAGGGGGGCGGGGNNNNNNNNNNNNNNNNNNNNNNNNNNNNNNNNNNNNNNNNNNNNNNNNNNNNNNNNNNNNNNNNNNNNNNNNNNNNNNNNNNNNNNNNNNNNNNNNNNNNNNNNNNNNNNNNNNNNNNNNNNNNNNNNNNNNNNNNNNNNNNNNNNNNNNNNNNNNNNNNNNNNNNNNNNNNNNNNNNNNNNNNNNNNNNNNNNNNNNNNNNNNNNNNNNNNNNNNNNNNNNNNNNNNNNNNNNNNNNNNNNNNNNNNNNNNNNNNNNNNNNNNNNNNNNNNNNNNNNNNNNNNNNNNNNNNNNNNNNNNNNNNNNNNNNNNNNNNNNAAGGUGUGGGCUGAAUGUCGUGGUGUAGAGGUGGGGGGGUCCUGUAAGAAGCCGCGGCGGGGAUAGCAAGCCGGGAGACGAGAUGUGAGUGUCAGCACUAUGUCAUGUGGCGAGAGAGUAAGAUGGUGAAUUGCAUUUUUAAGAUAAGAAUAAAAGGUGAUUACUUUUUUUGGAAAAAACGAUGGUUUGCUAUGAGAGAAAUGUCACAUACUUGUUUAUAUAGUUAAAAAUAUCACAAACCCUAACAAGUUAUUUCUUGAGAAUAAUUACUAACAAGUGAUUUACAGAUGAGUCUACAUGUUAUUAAAAUUGGGAUGCGACUCACCCUACUAAAAGCGGUCACCUGCUUGCAUGUAGCAGCUGACGAAUAAAUAUAUACUCCUUCCGUCCCAAAAUUCUUGUCUUAGAUUUGUCUAGAUACGGAUGUAUCAAGAAUUUUGGGACGGAGGGAGUAUUAUAUAUGAGCUUUUUUAAGAUAUGUAUAUGUUCACUUUUGUACAUCAGAGAUAAAAGUCAAUGGUUGCGGAUGAUGCUACUGUUGAUCGACAAAGUCACUGACGUAAUUAUGAUUGACCAGACUGAAAACUCAUCAAACUUUACAAAAUCAGAAGAGAUGUAUACAAAUUAUGGUUCUUCUUUGUAUAUAAACUACACACAAUAAUACAAAAGGUGUAUUUCUCUCACUCUCUCUCUCUCUCUCUCUCUCUCUCUCUAUAUAUAUAUAUAUAUAUAUAUAUAUAUAUAUAUAUAUAUAUAUAUAUAUAUAUUAUUUUUUGUAGAUUACGAUAGCGAUGGAGAUGAAUUAUGUCGAAGUUCAAAUGAAUCCAUCAAGAAGGGUCCCAACGACGUCGUUGGAAGGGGUAAAAAAGUCACCAAGUCUUAUACAACAAUACAAAAAGUCAUCAGAAAAAAAAGUUAAAAGGCCCGUAGCAACACAAGGGAAUACAUUGAAUCCAGAAAUCCCGGAUCCCACUUAUUUUUAUUGAUCUGAUUCUGAGGCCUACCUCUUUCUUGCGGCGGAGAGGCGCCAUACUUAACGCAGGUGAUGGCAAAAUAUCUCAAGUUUGCAUGCCAAUGAUAUUUAUCGGACUCGAAAGACGAUGCAUCCAUUCAAAUUGGGCAUCGCUUCUACAUGGCAUUCGGUGUAACCUACCAAAUAUCUCCCAGGCAUAAAUGGUUAUUAUUUUGAAGUAUGGCACCCAAAUAAUUCAUCCAUGACAUGUCUUGAAAUUAAUUUAUUCUACUGAUUAUUCAGAACAUGAGUGUUAGAUUUUGUAGUCCAAAAAGAUGAUAAUGAAGUUGAGAGAAGAGAGUAUGCCUAGGAUCUAUGAACAUGAUGUGUGACAAGAGAUGGUAUGACUUCUUCAGAGAACCAUCUUGAUCCUUCUUUUUUCUUCAUAUAUGGCCAACCAUUGAUUAUUGUGGUGCGGAAGGUCGUGAGCGCUAGAGAUUGUGGCACUAUUUAGAGGGUUGGGCGGCAACUCAGGUAGAGGGAGGUAGUGCGUGACAACAUUUGCUGACUGUUGAUGGUGGUGGCAAGUGGUUUCGUAGGUAGAGGUGGGCGGGUCAAUAGACUGGACGGAGAAAAAGGUAUGCAGAGGGAGGAAGAAGAGUAGUAGUAGCAGCGGGUGUUGGCGGCGGAGGAGAGGCAAGGGGUUAGCGGUCUCGAGUGCGGGGUGCGGGAGGUCGUGGGCACCAAAAUGAUGGUAGGUUUUAGAGGAACGACUGGCGUCAGCGUUGACAGAGGUGGUGACUUGAGCAAGUGGCGACGUGUGGCAACACUCGCCGGCUGUAGGGUGGCGGUGGCAGGUGCUUAGGCAGGGAGAGGCGGGCGGGUUGACAAAGUGGUCGAAUAAAAAAUCUGCGGCUACGGGAGGAAAACGAAGAAUUAGAGGCGGGUCAUCGUUGGAUGAGAAGGGGCAGGGGAUUAACGGAUUUGAAGGCGGGGUACAGGAUAUCUCAGGUGGCGGAGAUGGUGGUGGUGUUUAGAGGGAUAGCCGACACAUCAUGUUACAGCAUUUCGUUUGCACCAUCCAUCCCGAACAAUCACGGAAAAUAGAGAAAUUGGUGGAACUAUGUUAGAAAGAUCUAUUUGGGUGAAGAGAUGAGGAAUAAUGUAGUUCAUGACAGUCAUUUUCAUCGUCUACAUAUUGUCAGCUUUGUCGGCACAGGAACACAUAGAGUGAGGGGUGCGUGGAGUGAAAGAGUGAGAGGGCUGGUUGUGGUGAGAAAGUGGCUGAGGUCAGAAUAAGGCUAGGCAGGUAAGCUAAAAAAAUGGAUAGACAACAUUCUUGAUUGUGAGAUAAUUUCUUAAGUGCAUCAAGUAAAUUUCAAUUUGUAACAUAUUUUUAGUUAGAUAAUCGCUUUAUAUGCAUACAUCGUCAAAUUGUUUUUUAAUCAAUUUACAUUGCAAGUGAAGUGGACUUCAAUUAUUACCCAAUUAUGCCCACGCUAUCUUUUCUCUACAUGUGAAAUUUAACUUGUGUUAUGUUUAUAUAACUUCAGCAAAAUAUUUUAAAAGCCCGUGGCAACGCACGGGCAUUAUACUAGUAUAUAUAGGACGUCAGUUUGGGACACCUAGGUGCCUGGACACCUUGCCUAUCCAUCGUUGGAUCGUGCUUAGCGACUGAUUUGGAAACCAAUAUAAAUGAUUUAAUUACUAGUUAAUUUGGCAGACUUUAAUUCUUUAACCGUCCAUGCAUGCAUGUCACAUCAUAGAAAAGGAAGGUCAUUAAAAUACCAUAGUGAAUAAAAAUCAACAUUUAUUACCUCCUUAUAUAGCACUUAUUUAUUCGUAAAAUAAAUAACUACGUAUGUAAAUAGACAUGUAUAUUACGUAAUUUCAGUAGUAAGUAUACACAUACCCAUCACAUAAUUGGGUAUACACAUACACAUACCCGUACUUUAUUUGAAAAGCACGCGUGUAUGUACAUAAUUUUUUAGGAGUAUAUGCAUACCCCGCGUAUGUACAUUUUUUCUUUGUUAGGUAUAUGGAUACCCGCGUAUGUAUAUAAUUUCUUUUUUUUGCGGGGUAUGUAUAUAAUUUUGUUAGUAGGUAUAUGCAUACCCACGUAUGUAUAUAAUUUUUUUUUUGCGGGGUAUGUAUAUAAUUUCGUUAGUAGGUAUAUGCAUACCCACGUAUGUACAUAAUUCCGUUAGUAGGUAUAUACAUUUCCGCUAUGUAUAUAAUUUCUUUACUACCUAAAACCUAGAAUAAAUCAUUAGAUAUAUACGUAGCCGUGUACGAACAUAAUUUUAUUAGUAGGUAUAUAUACCAAGGGUAUGUUUAUAUUAUUUGGAGUCAGCGCACAAUUUGUCGAUAUACAUAAUAAAAAAAUUGUCAUGGAUACCUCAUGAAGGUAUCGCUUUUUAUAUAUACAUGUAUUCAUCUGUGCAUAGAAAAUCCACAAGCCGGCGAGUUACAUUGUGCGUACAUAGUAUACCUUGAUCUAAAGAGGAUGCAUGUAAUCAUGUAUAUAUCUUUCCUUUUUAUUGUGUCAUUCUCACUCCACCAAUUAAUGUGUGUUUUAAUUUUAUUCAAAUCAAUAAAUGCAAAUGGGUGGACAUGUGAGCUAUUAAAUGCUAGGUGCCUGGGCACCUAGGUAUAUAUAUAUGAACCACGCAAUGAUGCUUGGAGUAUCGUGUGCUCCACCUCCUCAUAGUCAGUAGCCAGUAACACUGCUCGACUCGAUUGAUGACUCUAAUCAACUAUUCGAGGUAUGAAUGACAUAUGGCUGUCCAAUUUGUAUUCCAAGCUCUCUCUCCAUCUAGCCAUAUAUAUAUGGAGAUAUUACCAUCAAUGCGAUAAAUUACAAGCCCGCUAGUAUUAUUGUAUAGUAGUUGGAAGCAAUUGAGCUGCACGAUAGAAUAAUAUGUGGCAUCCUCAGCUAACGUUGCAUGCAUGUACCUUAGUCAUUCAAAUGUAAACGGGCCAUGGUCAUGCUAAGUCCAAAAGCCUCCAAAUUUAGACCUAAAACAAGCUUAUUCUUUUUUUCCCUUUUAGUGAGAGGCUUGAGCAGAAACUCAGGGAAUCAAAUGUGUUACAGAUAUCUCUAUAGAAAGAAAAGUGAGUUGAAGACUUGAACUGCAAAAUUCCAACAUAGUUCUAAGCCAAGAUGUGUCAACUAUGAUACUGAGAAUUGAAAUGCUAUUUUUUCAAUUUAAUUGUACAUACUAUGUAACAGAAAUUCUCAAGCCUCUUCUUCCGUUCUAGGUAAGGACAUUUUUUUUGUUUGACCAUGUAUAUAGAAAAAAUCAUUAAUAUCUACAAUAUCAAAUAUAUCUAGUAUAAACAUAUAUUUUAUGAUGAAUCUAAUUAAAAUAAUUUGGUGUUGUAGAUGUCAGUAUAUUUUUCAGUAGACUUUCUCAAACUUAAAUAUGUUGACCUAGAAAAAAACUAAAACUUAAAGUAUUUUAAAACAGACGGAGUAGAAAAUAAUCUCGUUCACCUCAACUCGAGCUGUCUUCUUGGUUCAGAUUAGCACGUAGCCGGCCCGGUCUUAGUAGGCAUUCCCUUACAUCAUCAACACACAAAAAGUUGAAAAGAUGAACAUGUAUAGUAUUUUUUUUUUGACAAGAGAAGGGCGACCAAAGCCAUUUGAAAGAGCAUCCAAGGCUCGGAGGUCCGAGCUAUGUCAAGUACAACUGUGAUUCUGGAUGAACAUGCAAUCCACUGGGCCACGCUAUGUCAGAGUAGAACACACACACUUCUCUGGCUUGUCUCGGUCAUAGAAUUUCCAGGUGACUCCCAAGCCUGGCUCAUGAAUGAAAGAAGAGACGGAGCAAUGCGAUGUGAACCUAAAAGGGGAAUAUUUGGCACGUUACUGUCACUAGUAGGAAAAGGGGCUUAGGUCACAGGACAGUUUUCACAUUAGCCUCGGUUCAGUCACGAACCGGGACUAAUGUGAGCAUUGGUCCCGGUUCGUGCGGCCAGGGACCUGCCGGGCCUCGUGGGGGCAUUGGUCCCGGUUCGUCCGGACCCUUUGGUCCCGGUUGGUGGGACAAAUCGGGACCAAUGGCCUUUAGUCCCGGUUGGUGCCACCAACCGGGACCAAUGAUUUCCCUAUAUAUACCCCAUCGCCACAGCAGAGCACUCCAGAGUGCUCUGUUUUUUCUGGCCGGCGAGGGGAGGGCAUUUGGGUGCUCUAGCUCACCUCCUAUGCACAUGAGGUGUUCGAUGAAAUGUCUGAGCCACACUAGUUAAUCUUUGUCCUCUCGAAACUCGACCUCCGAGCUCCAUUUUCCCCGAGAUUUGUCUAGGUUUAGCGGUCCGUCACGUCCCGUCCCCGUCUUCACCGCCGUCGAUCGCCCGCGCUGAUCUCGUCGCCAGCACCACCGUGGUGAGCCUCUUGUCUUUUCUUCUUUCUGAAAGGAAAAAAAUUCUUACUUUAGAUAGUUACUUGUCUAAUUUUGUUACUUUUAUUAUUCCUUCUUAUUACAUAGUGCGAUGGUUUUGGUAUCGGCCCUCGUCCUGUCUAUGAUUCGGAUGUGGUAUAUAUUUUUUUAUAACUAUUUGGUUCGUUUAUUGUUUAUGACAAAUAUACCGACCAACGUGACAUAGAUUUUAUUUAUCUAGGAGGUGGUUGAACCGGAAAUUCUAACCGACCAUAUUGUCGAAAGGUUAAAUUUAGUUGAAGAAGAAAACAAUUACUUGAAGGAAAAAAUAAAAAAAAUUGAGGAGGAGAAGAUGAUAUUGGAGUUGCAUGUUGCAGAUGUCGUCGAUGAUCACAAGAUCAAGAUGGAUGCAAUGCGCUUGAAGAUUAGAAAGAUUAGAAAAUAUGCCAUUCAUACCGAGGCUUGGUAUCAUUAUGCCGUUGGAUCAAUUGUUACCUUGGUUGCGAUUAUGAUCGCAUUUGUUUUCGCAUUGAAAUGUUUUACAUAGUUUCAAUGUAUGGUUUAAUUAAUUAGAUGCUCUGGAGAGCUAUAUAUAUGUUGUUAGAUGAGAACUAUGUAUGUACUUUGGUUCUAAUGUGAUGAUGAACUUCUAUUAAUUUGGUCACUUAAUUAUCUAUUCAUGAUGUUCUGUAAUGGUUUUUGACAUACUUAAUUAUAUAUAAUGCACGCAGAUGAACCGGCAAUGGAUGUACGGUGACAAACACACCUCCGAGUACAUUAAGGGCGUGCAUGAUUUUCUCGAAGUGGCUGAGGCAAACAAGCAGAAUGAUUUUAUGUGUUGUCCAUGCCCUACAUGUGGGAAUACGAAGUCUUACUCUGACCGGAAAAUCCUUCACACCCACCUGCUUUACAAGGGUUUCAUGCCACACUAUAAUGUUUGGACGAGGCACGGAGAAAUGGGGGUUAUGAUGGAAGACGGCAAAGAAGAAGAGGACGAUGACAACUAUGUGCCCCCUGAAUACGGUGAUGCUGCAACGGGGGAAGCUACUGAAGAUCAAGAGGAACCAGACGAUGUGCCCAAUGAUGCUGCAAGGGGGGGAAGCUGCUAAAGAUCAAGAGGAACCAGUGCCCGAUGAUGAUGAUCUCCGCCGGGUCAUUGUCGAUGCAAGGACGCAAUGCGAAACUCAAAAGGAGAAGCUGAAGUUCGAUCGCAUGUUAGAGGAUCACAAAAAAGGGUUGUACCCCAAUUGCGAAGAUGGCAACACAAAGCUCGGUACCGUACUGGAAUUGCUGCAGUGGAAGGCAGAGAAUGCUGUGCCUGACAAAGGAUUUGAGAAGCUAUUGAAAAUAUUGAAGGAGAAGCUUCCAAAGGAUAACGAAUUGCCCGACAGUACAUACGCAGCAAAGAAGGUCGUAUGCCCUCUAGGAUUGGAGGUGCAAAAGAUACAUGCAUGCCCUAAUGACUGCAUCCUCUACCGCGGUGCGUACAAGGAUCUGAACGCAUGCCCGGUAUGCGGUGCAUUGCGGUAUAAGAUCAGACGAGAUGACCCUGGUGAUGUUGACGGUGAGCCCCCCAGGAAGAGGGUUCCUGCGAAGGUGAUGUGGUAUGCUCCUAUAAUACCACGGUUGAAACGUCUGUUCAGAAACGAAGAGCAUGCCAAGUUGAUGCGAUGGCACAUUGAGGACCGUAAGAAAGACGAGAAGUUGAGAGCACCCGCUGACGGGUCGCAGUGGAGAAAAAUCGAGAGAAAGUACUGGGCUGAGUUUGCAGCUGACCCAAGGAACGUAUGGUUUGGUUUAAGCGCGGAUGGCAUUAAUCCUUUCGGGGAGCAGAGCAGCAAUCACAGCACCUGGCCCGUGACUCUAUGUAUGUAUAACCUUCCUCCUUGGAUGUGCAUGAAGCGGAAGUUCAUUAUGAUGCCAGUUCUCAUCCAAGGCCCUAAGCAACCCGGCAACGACAUUGAUGUGUACCUAAGGCCAUUAGUUGAAGAACUUUUACAGCUGUGGAAUGGAAAUGGUGUACGUACGUGGGAUGAGCACAAACAGGAGGAAUUUAACCUGCACGCGUUGCUGUUUGUAACCAUCAACGAUUGGCCCGCUCUCAGUAACCUUUCAGGACAGACAAACAAGGGAUACCACGCAUGCACGCACUGUUUAGAUGACACUGAAAGUAUAUACCUGGACAAAAGCAGGAAGAAUGUGUACCUGGGCCAUCGUCGAUUUCUUCCGACCAACCAUCAAUGUUGAAAGAAAGGCAAGCAUUUCAAAGGCGAGGCAGAUCACCGGAAGAAGCCCGCCAUGCGUACCGGUGAUCACGUACUUGCUAUGGUCAAUGAUUUACACGUAAUCUUUGGAAAGGGUCCCGGCGGACUAGCUGUUCCGAAUGACGCUGAGGGACACGCACCCAUGUGGAAGAAGAAAUAUAUAUUUUGGGACCUACCCUACUGGAAAGAGCUAGAGGUCCGCUCUUCAAUCGACGUGAUGCACGUGACGAAGAACCUUUGCGUGAACCUGCUAGGCUUCUUGGGUGUGUAUGGGAAGACAAAAGAUACACCUGAGGCACGGGAGGACCUGCAAUGUUUGCACGAAAAAGACGGCAUGCCUCCGAAGCAGUAUGAAGGUCCUGCCAGCUACGCUCUUACGAAAGAAGAGAAAGAAAUCUUCUAUGAAUGCCUGCUCAGUAUGAAGGUCCCGACUGGCUUCUCGUCGAAUAUAAAGGGAAUAAUAAAUAUGCCAGAGAAAAAGUCCCAGAACCUAAAGUCUCAUGACUGCCACGUGAUUAUGACGCAACUGCUUCCGGUUGCAUUGAGGGGGCUUCUACCGGAAAACGUCCGAUUAGCCAUUGUGAAGCUAUGUGCAUUCCUCAAUGCAAUCUCUCAGAAGGUGAUCGAUCCAGAAAUCAUACCAAGGCUAAGGAGUGAUGUGGCGCAAUGUCUUGUCAGUUUCGAGCUGGUGUUCCCACCAUCCUUCUUCAAUAUCAUGACGCACGUCCUAGUUCAUCUAGUCGACGAGAUUGUCAUUCUGGGGCCCGUAUUUCUACACAAUAUGUUCCCCUUUGAGAGGUUCAUGGGAGUCCUAAAGAAAUAUGUCCGUAACCGCGCUAGGCCAGAAGGAAGCAUCUCCAUGGGCCAUCAAACAGAGGAUGUCAUUGGGUUUUGUGUUGACUUCAUUCCUGGCCUUAAGAAGAUAGGUCUCCCUAAAUCGCGGUAUGAGGGGAGACUGACUGGAAAAGGCACGCUUGGAGGGGGAGACUCAAUAAUAUGCAGGGACGGAUAUUCUUGGUCUCAAGCACACUACACAGUUCUACAGAACUCUACCUUGGUGACCCCGUAUGUCGAUGAACACAAGAACAGUCUGCGCUCCAAACACCCGGAGCAGUGUGACGACUGGAUUACAUGUGAACACAUCAUGACUUUCAGCAGUUGGUUGGAAACACGUCUGAGAGGUGACACCACUGUUUGUGAUGAGUUGUACUCGUUGUCCAGGGGACCAUCUUCGACUGUAUUGACUUACAAAGGAUACGAGAUAAAUGGGAAUACAUUUUACAUGAUCGCCCAAGAUCAAAAGAGCACCAACCAAAACAGCAGUGUCCGCUUUGAUGCAGCAACCGAGAGGGGAAAGGACACAUAUUAUGGUUACAUAAUGGACAUAUGGGAACUUGACUACGGACAUGAUUUUAAGGUCCCUUUGUUUAAGUGCAAAUGGGUCAAUCUGUCAGGAGGCGGGGUACAGGUAGACCCACAGUACGGAAUGACAACAGGGAUCUGAACAAUCUUGGAUACACUGACAAACCGUUCGUCCUAGCCAAUGAUGUGGCACAGGUUAUCUAUGUGAAUGACAUGUCUACCAGACCGAGGAAAAGAAAAGAUAAGGAAGCGAAUACGUCAUACGAUGAGCCAAAGCGGCACAUAGUUCUUUCAGGAAAAAGGGACAUUGUGGGAGUGGAGGGCAAGACAGACAUGUCUGAAGAUUAUGAAAAGUUUGAUGAAAUUCCUCCCUUCAAAGUCAAGGCUGACCCAAGCAUCCUGAUAAACGAUGAAGAUUAUCCAUGGUUACGGCGCAAUAAGCAAAUGACACAAGCGAAGAAAAAGUGAAGACUUUCUCCCGCAACUAUUAUGAUGAUACCAUGCCAACUUUGUAAUAGACGAGUAUGAUACCAUUGUCCGUUUUGUACAAGAAGUGCAUCUAGUUUUUGCCGUAACCCUCUCAACUUUCUUGCACAUGCUAUGUGGAUGAAAUGGUGAUACCAUGCCAACUUUCAACCUUUUCAGAGUUCAUUUGAAAUGCUUUUCAAUUUUAGGGUCUUAUAGCUCAAAAUAAUUAGUAAAUGCAUGAAAAAUAACAGGCCAAAAAUUAAAAAUUAUGCCACCUACUGGGCCACCACGGCCUGAAUAUGAUUAGAAACCCAUCCAUGGGCCAGGAUUCAGGCCCGCAGAAGGUCCAGUAGGCCCACAGGCAUGUACAGAGAGGUUAGGCCCGUAAGCCUGCUUUAGAGAGGAGCUCGACAGCUCAGGCGCACUGCACCUUAUAAACAGGUGCGGCUCUCUCUUAGCUAGCGAGGUGGGACUAAACUCACCACCACGCCGCUGUGCAAGGCCAUUGGUCCCGGUUGGUGGCACGAACCGGGACCAAUUCCACCCUUUGGUCCCUGUUGGUGCCACGAACCGGUACUAAUGAGGCUGUGGCCCCACGAGCACCUUUAGUACCUGUUCGUGGCACGAACCGGUACUAGAGUUUCUUACUAGCUAAGGAGUUUUUUAGUCCCACCUCGCUAGCUGAGAGGCACUAGGAGCGGUUUAUAAGCCCCGAGUGCAGAGACGAUGAAGAAGAGGCGUAAUGCUCACGUUGCUUAGCUUAAAGCCUUGAGGAAUAAGGUAGACUGCAUCGAGCUAUGUGCAGUGCAGUCUACACUAUUCCGAAAGGCUUGAAGCAAAUCAACGCGCAUUGCGCCUCUUUUUUAUUUUUAAUCAUUAAAAGCAAAAAGAAUUUUCAUAAAGAACUUUUUUGAUAUAAACUUUAAUAGCAGAAAGAAUGAUCAUAAAGUAAAAUAAAUAAGUAAUCAGAAACAAAAUAAAAUAAAUUAAAAUAAGUUUUUUGUUGUAAGUAGAAACAAAACAAAAUAAAUAUAGCAAAAAAGAAAACAAAAAAAUAAAUACAGCAAAAAGAAUUUUCAUAUAAAGAACUAAUGGCACUAAUAGAAAGUUUAUAUUUUUUCUAAAACUAAUGGCACUAACAGACAGUUUAUAAUUUUGCUGACCUAAAAGCAAAAAGAAUUAAAAAAUAAAGCAAAAAACAAAAGAAAAUAAAUAAUGCAAAAAACAAAACCAAAAAACUGGAAAAAAAAUUAAAAAACUGCCACCUAUUGGGCCACCACGGCCUGAAUACGACUAGAAACCCAACCUGGGCCAGGAUUCAGGCCCGCAGAAGGCCCAAUAGGCCCACAGACAGCACAGUGUGACAUUAGGCCCGUAAGCCUGCAUUUGAGAGGAGCUCGAGAGGGCAGCCGCAGUGGGGCUUAUAAACCACUCUGAGCCCCUCUCAACUAGCGAGGUGGGACUAAACUUUUGGCCGCGGGCAGCGCAAGUCCUUUGGUCCCGGUUGGUGGCACCAACCGGGACCAAUGCCCCCCCCUUUAGUCCCGGUUGGUGCCACCAACCGGGACCAAAGGCCGCGGCUUCCCGCCCUUUGGGCUGCUGAAAAGGGACCUUUGGUCNNNNNNNNNNNNNNNNNNNNNNNNNNNNNNNNNNNNNNNNNNNNNNNNNNNNNNNNNNNNNNNNNNNNNNNNNNNNNNNNNNNNNNNNNNNNNNNNNNNNNNNNNNNNNNNNNNNNNNNNNNNNNNNNNNNNNNNNNNNNNNNNNNNNNNNNNNNNNNNNNNNNNNNNNNNNNNNNNNNNNNNNNNNNNNNNNNNNNNNNNNNNNNNNNNNNNNNNNNNNNNNNNNNNNNNNNNNNNNNNNNNNNNNNNNNNNNNNNNNNNNNNNNNNNNNNNNNNNNNNNNNNNNNNNNNNNNNNNNNNNNNNNNNNNNNNNNNNNNNNNNNNNNNNNNNNNNNNNNNNNNNNNNNNNNNNNNNNNNNNNNNNNNNNNNNNNNNNNNNNNNNNNNNNNNNNNNNNNNNNNNNNNNNNNNNNNNNNNNNNNNNNNNNNNNNNNNNNNNNNNNNNNNNNNNNNNNNNNNNNNNNNNNNNNNNNNNNNNNNNNNNNNNNNNNNNNNNNNNNNNNNNNNNNNNNNNNNNNNNNNNNNNNNNNNNNNNNNNNNNNNNNNNNNNNNNNNNNNNNNNNNNNNNNNNNNNNNNNNNNNNNNNNNNNNNNNNNNNNNNNNNNNNNNNNNNNNNNNNNNNNNNNNNNNNNNNNNNNNNNNNNNNNNNNNNNNNNNNNNNNNNNNNNNNNNNNNNNNNNNNNNNNNNNNNNNNNNNNNNNNNNNNNNNNNNNNNNNNNNNNNNNNNNNNNNNNNNNNNNNNNNNNNNNNNNNNNNNNNNNNNNNNNNNNNNNNNNNNNNNNNNNNNNNNNNNNNNNNNNNNNNNNNNNNNNNNNNNNNNNNNNNNNNNNNNNNNNNNNNNNNNNNNNNNNNNNNNNNNNNNNNNNNNNNNNNNNNNNNNNNNNNNNNNNNNNNNNNNNNNNNNNNNNNNNNNNNNNNNNNNNNNNNNNNNNNNNNNNNNNNNNNNNNNNNNNNNNNNNNNNNNNNNNNNNNNNNNNNNNNNNNNNNNNNNNNNNNNNNNNNNNNNNNNNNNNNNNNNNNNNNNNNNAAAUGUUUUUUUGUUCAUAGAAAGUUUUUUGUUCAUAUAUAGAAAGUUUUUAUAUAUGACAAUGGAUAUAUAUUCGAUAUAUAUGAGAAAUGAUGACCCACAUGGAAAAGUUUUAUAUAUGCAAAAGUUACAAUUUUAGAAAAGUUUUAUAUAUCUAGCUAGGAAGGGAAGAAGAAGAAAAAGAAGGAUAGGAAAGAAGAAAAUAAGAAGAGGAAAGAAAGAAGAAGAGGAGAGGAAGAAGAGGAAAAAAGAAGAAAAAGAAGAGGAGAAGAAGAAAGGAAUAGAGGAGAAGAAGAAAGGAAUAGAGGAGAAGAAGAAAAAAAUAGAAUAAUAGAAGAAAGGAAUAGAGGAGAAGAAGAUUCUUCUUCUCCUCUCUUUUUUUCUUCAAUCCUCUCCUCUAUUCCUUUCUUCUUCUCCUAUUUUUAUUUCUUCUUCGUUUUCUUAUGUUUUAUCGGGUCUGUCGUCGUCGAUAUAUACCCCUCCCGAUAACUUCAACACGAGGGGGGAUAACUUCAACACGAGGGGGGUGUCGAUAUACCCCCUCCCCGAUAACAUUAUUUUCCCGUGUAUAUAUGUCGUCGUUGUCGAUAUAACCCCCUCCUGAUAACUUCAACACGUGGGGGGGGGUCGAUAUACCCCCUCCCCGAUAACAUUAUUUCCCCGUGUAUGUAUGUUGUCGUUGCCGAUAAUACCCCCUCCCGAUAACUUAAACACGAGGGGGGGUCGAUAUACCCCCUCCUCGAUAACAUUAUUUUCCCGUGUAUGUAUGUCGUCGUUGUCGAUAUAAAACCCCCUCCCGAUAACUUCAACACGUGGGGGGGUCAAUAUACCCCCUCCCCGAUAACAUUAUUUUCCCGUGUAUGUAUGUCGUCGUUGUCGAUAUAUAUAACUCCCUCCCAGAUAACUUCGACAUGAUGGACGGUCGAUAUGUAUACCCCUUCUCGACCGUGAUAACUUAUAUCACGGGAGCACCCCCCGGCUCUCUCGCUCGACCAAAACUCUCGAGGACACCCAAACCCUAGAAAAAAACGAUGUCGAUCUCCUACCCCCUCCCGCCGCGCCCCUACCCUUGAAGCGUUGCCUAGGCCACCCCAAACCCGGAAUAAGCUAGGUCUACGUUUGCACUAAUAUAUCCACCUGCUGUCAUGUUUGUGUAAUAAUUGCCAUGUUUUAAUAUUUGCAGAAACAAUGGAGCACAGACGAGAUGAGCAAGCAGAAGAGGUGUUGGGGGACAUAAUCUUAGCCGGAGGUGAUAUCUUGUCGUAUCUUAACGACAAUGAUGGUCUGGAAGAACAGGGUGAAGAAGCAGGAUACGGUGAUCGAAGAGUGGAGGAGGAAAGACAUGACGGUGACCCAAUGCUGGUGCAAGAGGGAGCCCGUGGUGACGGCUCCGGUGACCGAACAGAGUCCGGCCAGGUAAAUAUAUUAGUUAAGCAUGUGCUGACUAGCUAAUUGAUGCAUUCAUUGUUUUGGUAUGUACACAUAUUAAUUAACACUCGUCUUUCUUCUUUUUUCUAGCCCUCCGGAUCGAGCACAACUGCGGUAAAGAGACGAGGCCCGAAGAGAAAGUUGCGCUUGGAUGAAAGGUUUGAGAUCACAGCAAUCGCGCGCGACGGCCAACCGAUUGAACCCCUCCGGACAAAGGAUGCUUUUGCUGCUCAGUGCGGGGUUCUAGUUAGGGACAAGAUCCCGAUCAGCAUCCACCAAUGGUAUAAGCCUAAGAAGGAAGACUCUGAGGUGUCUUAUGUCAAUGAUAUGCAGAAAGAUGAUCUUUGGACUGAGCUGAAGGCAAAUUUCACCCUACCGCCAGAGGAGGAUCCGGAGAAGCCAGUUAUAGAGCAAUUAAUCAAGUCUCAUGCUCUUAAGAAGAUGGCAGACCUAUUCAGGAGGUGGAAGAAUGAGCUGAAAACGUUUGUCGACAAAGAAGAGACACCAGAAUUCAUCGGCCGGUAUGAGAAGAUCAAAGAUCACUGGCCCGCAUUUGUGGCCCACAGGACAUCGGAAAAGAGUAAGAAGAUGUCAGCGACAAACAAGAAGAAUGCUGCGAAGAAGAAGUUUCACCAUCGCACGGGGUCAGGUGGCUACCUCAAAGCCCGGCCUAAGUGGGCCAAGUCUGAGAGGGAUCUGCUUGAUAAAGGGAUCGAACCAGAGACAAUGAACUGGCCAGACCGUUGCCGGACUUGGUUCUUCGGGGCUGGCGGAACCUUGGACCUUGUAUCAGGGAGGUGUCGUUGGACGGACGAGCAACUUGCAAUACCCGUCAAGAAGCUUAAGCACUAUAUCGAUGCAGCGCAGCAAGGGACGUUCGUUCCAGACAGAGAGAAUGACGAGCUCACAAUGGCCCUCGGGAAUCCUGAGCACCCUGGACGGACACGAGGCACGCCAGGCUCCGUUCUGUGGAAGGCUGGUUUUCCGGACGCGGGCGGUUACAAAACCCAGGAGAGGAGGAAAAAAAGUGGAGCAGAUCCAAAUUCAGAAGCUGCACGAAAGGGUUCAAGCGCUAGAGGAACGAGACGGCAAUCGAGAUGCCGAAACUGCCCCCCAAGCUACACCGCCAUCUCAGCGGAGAAGCAGCGUGGUUUCCACCGAGCUGCCUCAGCUGGAGCAUGCGGCUCCUGCUAGCUACCCCGUGGAUGCUAUCACGGAGUCUCAACAUUGCCACCUUAUGGCGGAAUGGCAGAACUUGAAAGUCAAGGCGGCUGUUGGCUCUGUUUUACCUACUAAACAAGGCGCAACCUACCACUGCCGGCCGAUUCCAGAAGGAUAUGCUAGGGUGAUGGUGGAUGAAAUAACGGAGGGAUUUGAGGACCUCCAGCUUGACCACCCUACUGGUGAAGGGGAGACUCGGCUAGGUUUAGCUCUAAAGACUCCAUGCCUAUGGCGGAAGGAGCUCAUCAAGCUUCCGAACUGGACGGCUCCGGCGAGCAAGGGCACUCCGCCUCCUCCUCCUCCGCCUCCUCCUCCGGCGAGUGAUCAGGGCACUCAGCCUCCUUCUCCGGCGCGUGGCGGCACUCCGCCUCCUUCUCCGCCAGCGCCGGCGCGUCAGAGCAGCCAGCCUCCUCCUUCUCCGCCUCGUCAGCAAGGGCGGAAGAGACCCGCCACCGCUGCGGCUGCUCCGGCACGUCGUAGUCCUUCUCCUCCGCCUCGUAAGCAAGGAAAGAAGACAGCCGCAGCCGCUCCGUCUGCUCUGCCGGCGUCUAGCAGUACAGCUGCCAGAGGCGGGAGGCAAUACAGAUUCGGUCCUUCUCUGAAGACUCCAGAGAAGUUACCAUAUGAGAGGACCGAGGAGGAGAACGCGAAGAUCGUGCGAGCCGAAGUGAAGAACUUCUUUGAAGGGGUGAAAGCAAAGAAACAUCCACCUCCGGAGGAGAAGGUAGAUCCGGUGAAAGCAAAGCGCACUCUGGCUGCCCUGACAAAACCACCAAAGUCUCCGCCGAGAGGCAACUAUGAGCGCGUUCUUGCAAAGACAUAUGCCGAAGCGGAGCGGUCGGGAAGUACGGUCUGUGAUAAAAGGAUGAAAGAACGACGAGCUGGGAAAAAAUUGCCCAGCUCGGCGAACAAGCGAACCAAUCGUGCCCCCCGCUCAAGGUGUCAAAAGACAUCGUCGCUAAUGAUCCGAGUAUGGUGCCCGGUUAUAGCAAUCUUGGAGAUUACCUACCCAACGAUGUACAUUAUGAAAUCAUGGAGGUGGACGAACACAAAUACCAUUACGGGAAGCCUCUCGUCAAAGAUGUCAGAUCUCUAAGCACGAUGAUGCGAAGACUACAUGAUUGGUACAUGAAAACCUGCAGAGAGUCUGAUGGGAUGAGUACUUUGACGUUGAGAGUUAAACCAGAGCAUGACCUCGUUGGAAUUGAACUGCUGAAUGUUCCAUUUGAGGAUUUGUUCCAGUUUUACAAUUAAAAGGCCCUCGAUAAAACAACGAUCACUUGCUACUGUCUGUAAGUAGUACUACUUCUGUCAUUAAGUCUCUCUAUAUAGGUCAGCUCCUUCAUUGCAUGUAUUUAUACUUAUCCUCACUAUAUUAUGCAGAUUGAAGAUCGCCGAAUUGAAGAAAAGACAAAUCGGUGAUAUUGGGUUCAUUAACACAAAUCUCAUAGAUGCAUAUACGGUUGAAAAACAUCCCAAAGAAGCCGAGGCCAACUUGCUACAAUCGUUGGUAUUAAAUGAAAACAAAGAUAUAAUACUCUUUCCUUACAACUUCAAGUGAGUGUUACUAUCUUGUGCAUAUUCGGUUUCCUUUAUUAGUCCAGGUUAUGGUAAUGUAAUUGAUGACUUAUGCAUGCAUGCGCAUCUUACACUAUAUUAUCCUAGAGAUUAAGCUUGAGCCGGGAGUAGUAACCGUCUUAGACUCGAGACGAAAAGAUCCCCAAGACUAUGCGAACAUGACUCAAAUGCUCCAGAAGUAAGUUAAAUCGAUCAUUAUCCACCAUAUCAGCAACUUUGUUCAUUUCCUGAUAUCAAGUAAUUGUUUUCUUUGUCUGGCAGGGUUUGGAGAAAAUUCACCUCAAAAGCUCCGGGACUGCCGAAAAAGCUGCAAUUUAAUCACCCGAAAGUAAGUACUAUAGUAGCAUGUUCCGCGCAUCUCCUAGUGAUUCAAGCGGUAGUUUCAUCAAUACCAUUUAGCAUGCUUGCUUAUCAGUUUGAUUGACCUCUAUUUCUUGUAAAGUGGUUGUGGCAGGAACCCGGGAAUAAUUACUGUGGAUACCACGUUUGCGAGUCCAUCCGCUACCAUACUUGUGAGCGGGGCUACACUAAAGAACAAUAUGAAGUGCGUAAGCAAUAAUAUUCACAAUUUUAUUUUAUUACCAUCAUUUGUGUUGAGUUUCAUUUAUUCAUAUAUAUAUAUAUAUAUAUAUAUAUAUAUAUAUAUAUAUAUAUAUAUAUAUGUAUUGACCCCCUUCUUCAAAUUAGAUCUUUCGGAUGCGGGAUGAACUCCUAGCAGAAGAUCGUAUGCGAGGAAUUCAAGAGGAAUUGGCGGCGUUCUUCCUUGACCACGUGAUCGCUGAAAACGGAGAAUACUAUGUGGACCCUGUGUUCCUACAAUAUAAUUAGGAGAUUGUAUUGUAAGAGAUAAUUAUUGUAUAUAUAUAGCCGGUAGUGUCGGAUAGAUAUACGAGACCUUGUUGUUCGACCAAUAUCUCGGAGAAGGAGAGGUGGUCGAUAUCACUUCUCUCUGUAUGCAUAUGUUCAUGACGAUUUUCUGUUUCCUUCAUUUGAUUACUAGCUAGCGUGUCUACUCCUCUCCAUACGUAUAUAGUACGUAGCGUCGACCAAGCACGGAGAUAAGAGAGGACACUUCUCUCUAUUAAUUAGCUAGCUAACACAAUAUAUGAAACACCUAAAUUAACCCCCCAAAACCCCUAAACCACCCCUUUCAAAAAAACAAAAACCUCAGCUCCCGCCAGAUGCUGACGCGUGGAUGCCUAUUGCUCCCGGUUGGUGGCACCAACUGGGACCAAAGGCCCUCCUGCCUGGGCUCCCCGCACCGGCCACGUGGACGGCCUUUAGUCCCGGUUCGUGUAAGAACCGGGACUAAAGGGCUAGGGCAUUAGUAACGACCCUUUAGUCCCGGUUCCAGAACCGGGACUAAAGGCCCUUAUGAACCGGGGUAAAAACCCCUUUUCCUACUAGUGUGUGUCAUGCGACUUGAAAAGAAAGUUCCCUAGCACAUAUAGCUCCUACUUACAAAGUACUUGACCAUGUUACUACUUAUCAAAUAGUACCCGCUGCAAGCAUGGUGUAAAGGCCAAUAGGGUGAGACGAAUUUUGGGGGUUCACAAUGUCUUUUGCUUAGGCUUGAAACACUUAUUUUCUUAUUCUCUUUUUUAUUUUAUUUCGCCCUAGGCAAUCUCUUUGCUUGCUGACAUAAACUUUCAACAUAGAUCAAGUUGUUUUUUAGGAGUUUUACCUCUUGGUCAGGAUGUGAAAGGAAAACAGCACAUGUUUGGUGCUGCCGUUGGCAAAAGAAACACCAGAGUAGGCCACUUGAGAGAGAGACAUGGAGCAAGCCUGGUACCGGGUGUGUUAAACUGAAUACUGACUCGUGUUUAUUGAGCAGACUGGGCAGGGCGGCAUAGGAAUGGUGGCGAGGAACCAGCAAGGGGUAUUACAAACUAGUGUGCUCCACAUUUGCCCAGUCAUAGCUACUCAACCACUAGAGAUAUCGAUGACGCGGGACUGUUUUAUUUGGAUUCCAAGCUGUCUCUCCAUCUGGCCACAUAUAUGGACACAUCACCAUCAAUGCAAUUAAUUUGCUCUCUACUUGUACCUUAUAUAGUGGUUGAGAGCAAUUGAGUUGCACGAUAGAAUUUACCGUCCUCUGUAUUAUUCAUGUAGUCGCUGGGAUGUAACUUGGCUUGCUCAUGCUAAAGCCCAGAAGCCUCUGAAUCUAAAACAAACGCCUUUUCUUCUUCUUGUGGGAGGCUUGAUCAGACACUCUUGGGUCCAAAAAGGGCAUACUGUUUGAGCUAUGGAGAGCAUUUGCUCCUGAGAUGAGUAGUAAAUUCAAAAUAAACAGCAAGAAAUGGUGUCCAAAGUGUGCUUAACAACUUUAAUGCGCGACGGAACAAUAGUGUUUCAUGUAAAGAAAAAUGAAGUCUGGUGGUCUGGAAAUGCCAAAAAAAAAUGGCACUCCGCUUGUAUUUUUUGCCACAGAUUGAAGACUUCAAGUGCUUGGGCUUUCCACAUAAACAUGCGCAGAUAACAUUUGUACUUGAACAUGUCUAGGAAGAUCAUAUGUUUUACAUUUGCAGUAACAUUUUUGGCGCGCAGAAGCAAAUGCUCCGCAGAACUGAAUUGGAACCGUAUGUCAAAGACAUCUCCAUAGAAAGAAAAAUGAGUUUCCCUCAACACCAAAAAAAUGAGUUGGAUCCGUGAUCAACUGCAAUAUUCCAUUGUAGUCUUUUUUUAGGGAUUUAAUUUGUUCCAUUGUAGUCUUUUUUUAGGGAUUUAAUUUGUUCCAUUGUAGUCAGUGUCGGACUUUUGGUACUAUUACUCUCUCUCUCUCCUUCCGUGUCGCCCCUGCAUGGCGAGUCGGCGACGGAGAGGAAAACAUCGCGCGGGCGUCUCAACCAGGCUGAGGCGACCCGGUCUAGGAGGCAGACCUGGGCGGCGGCCGCCCGGCGUAGCUCUUCUCCACGGGAGAUACCUCCAGAAUUACCUCUUCUUUACACGGCGUGAGUCGAGUGUUACCGAGGAUGUGAAAGGAAAACAGAACAUGUCUGCUGCUGCUCGUUGGCAAAAGAAACACCAGAGUAGGCACUCGAGAGGAGACAUGCAGUAAGCCUGACCCUAGGUGGGUUAAACUGGACUGGCGGCUCAAUCGUUUAUUGUGCAGAUUGGGCAGGGUAGCACAGGAAUGGUGGCGAGGAACCAGGAAGGAGCGGUCAUUAUCUGGGCAGGUCUGCAACUUCCCCUAUUCGGCGGGGCGGAUCACGCUGAUAUUGCUGCUGUGGCUCCGUGCCUCCGGCUCCUUGCUGGCCCUCUUGUUUCUCUCGGAAAAAACAAAUCUACGGACCAUGUUUCUCGAGGACCAGUCGACAUGGUGAUCUGGAUAUGCAACUUGGAGAAAAUCGAGCCUAUACGAAACUCCUUCCUGCAGCUGGUGACUCUUCGCGUUUUGCAAGCAUGAUCAUGUGGUUCCGCGGGUCCUAGAUUUCGGCUGCCUCCCAAGCCACACCCUUAUGAACAUGAAAGAGUUCAUAUACAUUCAGCAUGUAUAUGAAUCAUACGUUCAUGCAUAUGUGUGAUUUAUCACGAACUAGUGUGCUCCACAUCUGCCUAGUUGUAGCUAGUAGCACUACUCGGCCUGAUUGAUGAAUAUAACUAACCAAUAGAGAUAUCGAUGAUGCAGGACUGUCUGAUUUGGAUUCCAAUCUAUCUCUCCAUCUGGCCACAUAUAUGGACGUAUCACCAUCGAUGCAAUUAAUUAACUAGUUAGUUGUACCAACGUACCAUAUAUAGUGGUUGAGAGCAAUUGAGCGGCACGAUAGAAUAUGGAAAAUGUUUGCUUUAAACCGGUUGAUUUUCUGGCUCUGUAAGCCGCCUCGUACGCGCGCCACGUGCCCCACUCAGCCACCGCUUUCAUCCCCACCUUAUCCCCUCGGACGCUCUCUCUUCCGCUCAUUCCACUUCUCAUCUUCUUCCUUCUUUUUUCCCCUCUCUCUCAUUUGCAACUCUGACCGACGAGCGAACACUGAAAACUAUCAGUUCGCGUGGGCUGCUGCCACCUGCUGCUUUUGCAAGGAAGAGGCAACGCCGGCCAAUUCCACAUAUCAUUGCGUGCUGCAUGGCGAAGCUCCCGCGCGCCACAGGGAGGGCUGCAAUGGCGGCCGCUUGUACUACAGACGACGAAGCAUCCGCCAUCGCCAUCGUCACCGCCGCGUGCUGCGUCGCGGCAUUCCCGUUGCCGCCAUGCUGUGUCGCAGCAUACACUCGUCGCCGCCGCGCCGGUGAAGCUUCGCCGAGCCAUUAGGUGCUGUGAUUUCGACGGGGGAAGCCGGUGCCGCGAUGGAGCACCAACCCGCGGUGGUGCCGUUGCAGUGAAGCUCCGCCGGCGGCGCUGUCGCGGUGCUACAAUGGAGCCGGCCGCGCGCCGGUGAUGGCCCUGUGCAGUGAAGCUUCGCCGAGCCACGGGGUGCUGCGAUGGAGUUUGGACGGGGCCAGCCGGUGCCGUGAGGGAGCACCAACGCGCGGUGGUGCCGUUGCAGUGAAGCUCCACCGGCGGAGCCGUUGCGGUGCUGCAAUGGAGCCUGCCGCGUCGUCGCGGUGCUGAGGUGAAACAUCGUCGAGACCAUUGUGUGCUGCAUGGAGCAUCGAUGGCGUUGCAGUGAAGCAUCACCGGGAGCGCCGCCGUGUCGGGACGACGGCACUUCGAUGGAGCUUCGCGGGGGGCGGUGUUUCUAUGAAGCUUCGUCGAGGUCAUUUAGUGUUGCAAUGGAGCUUCGCUGGGGUGCCACCAGUGCUGCAAUGGGCUUCACGGGGCCGCCGAGGUUGCCAUGAAACUUCGUCGAGCGGCCGAUGUUUCAAUGGAGCAUCGCCGGCGGCGUUGGGUGCUGCCAUGGAGCGCCGCCGUGUCAAUGUUUGUCGCUUCAGUGAAGCGUUGCCGGCUGCUCCGGGUGUUGCGAGAUCGAAGGAGAGAAGGGGUUUGUUGUGCGAUGUGAGGAGAAGAUCGGGUGCGCAUUGACCAUUCAAACCGGUUAACAGAAGGGAUCCAACGGUGCGAUCUGGCUGAUCAAACAGCCAGGGAGGCGACUUAAAUAUCGUUAGCAUCAGCCGGUUGAUUUGUAGUACUGGAACGUAAACAUGGCAUGGUCGUCAUGCUAAAGACCUUUUUUUUCUUGUGGGUCUUGAUCAGACACUCGGGUGUAACCGUGUAAAGGGCGCAUUGUUUUGGCUGUCGGAAGCAUUUGCUUCUCAGAUGAACAGUAAAAUUGAAAUCAAUAAGAGAAUAUUGAUUUUUACAUGUUCAUGUUGUGUCCAAAGCGAGCUUUGACAAUUUUCAUGCACAACAGAACAAUAGUGUUUCAUCUGGGGAAAAAGCCCAAUGGUCUAGAAAUACCAAAAUUUUGGCACCAACUUGUUUUUUUUAUGUUUGCACUUUGCACUGAUUGAAAUGAUUGGGCUUUCCACCUAAACGUGAGCAGAUAACAUUUGUACAUGAACAUGUCAAAGAAUCAUUUUUUUACGGAACCUCGUCAGAGGGCUAGGUGCUCUGGCUUUGCAUUAUAGAAAAAGAGAGUUGAUCCAGUUUAUGAGGGAAACCAGAUCGAAAACCUAACAGAGUGGACCAGUUUAUGAGGAAAACCAGACCGAAAAACCGCACACGCAACGAACCCUUGCCGACCACAUGACCCAAGGCAACAUUGCAACAAACACACACCCCCGACUCCGGAGCCGCCGCUCCGACACCCCCCGCCCGCACGCGAGCCACAAUGCCGCGCGGUUCAAGCGCCUCGUAGCCCUUGCUACAUGAGACGACCGCCCGCAGACCAUGAACGUUGUACCAUACAUCUGGGGCCGCCGCCCCGACUUCCAGCCAGACCGACCCCACAGAUCGCGUCGACCGAGCCGACGAACUGGCCACCCUCGCAGCACCAGGUCGCCGCCCAUGCCAAGCAAAGCAGCGGACCUACCCCAUAGGACCGCCGUUGCAUGACCGUCCGAGGCCGCCGCCUCGGCAUACAUCCACCGUCCGGAGCCGCCGCUCCGGCAUCCACCGUCUCGGCAUACCACCAGAAGCACAAAAGCCACAAGCGCCAACCGAACCUCGCCUCCAAAGAUGGCGCCUCCAAGAAAGAAAAUGACGUCCAAGAAGACGCCGCCGCCAUCCAAUCCAGCAAACUAAAUCUAGGUUUUCACCCGGAAGACGAGGUUCCUUUGGUUGGAGGCGGGUCGGGGCUCCUCGACGAUGCCAUCAAAAUGGAAACGGCGCCACAGAGCGCCGCCGUCACCGGCACCGAUCAAGUCGGGCAGAAACUUUCGUCCAGAGCCCCACGACAACCACCAUCACCGUACUGCCGCGAGGACAGCCCACCGCGCCGCAGCCCUUGACACAUACAGGGAGCCACCACCCUCACCGGAAGCACCAGCGGCCAUGCCACACGACACCGACCCGGAGCCGCCGCCAACAGCCAUGACCACCUCUCCACUGCUCGCACGGCCGGAGCUGGCAGAGCACACACCGCCCCGGAGGCCAGGGACCGCUCCCCGCGACCGCCGCAGCACAUCCACCUACGCGGCGCCGCCGCGCCGCCAUCCAGGAGCUGCAGCACGCCGCCACCACCACAGCUCAACCAGCCGGACGUGCAGCCGGAGCCACACGCAUGGGCAGCCCCACCGACGGUUCCAGCCUCCUGGCGCCAGAUCCGCGGCGGCCGGCCCAGCACCGCCCCACACGACCCACAGGGAGGGAGGAGAGGAGAGAACGGCGCCGCCACCAUGCCCGGGGCCGACGCCAGUCGCCUCGCAUCGUCCAGGGCCACCGCUACGCGUCUCGCGAGGAGAAGUCCCCGCCGUCGCCGAACACCGAGCGGGCUUUGCCUGUCGGAUUCACCUGGCGGCGGCGAGGGGAGCUGGGGUGGAGGUGGGGAAAACGGGGGCGGCGGCGGCUAGGUUUCACCCGUGCCGCCCCCCGGGAGCGACGCGAGAGACACUGUAUGUUUUGCAUUUGCAAUAACAUUUUGGCGUGUAGGAGCAAAUGCUCCUCAGAGCUAAAUUGGUAUUCGUUUGUCAAUGACAUCUCUUUAGAAAGAAAAAUGAUUUGGGUACGUCAUCAACUGCAAUAUUCCAUUGUAGUUUUAAGCCAAGAUGUGCCAACUCAUGAUGCUGAGAAAUUUACUUGCGACUUUUUCAGUUUGGUCUAAAUAUAGAUACAAUGUAACUCAAAUUUCUGUAUCCUCUUUUUCCAGAAAAGACAGUAAUAUAGUCUUCCCGAAGCUUGACUUGUCUUUGCAGUCAAAUUAGUAGCUGGCCUGGUCCUACCACGUAUUCUCUUACAUCACUAUAUAGAACGGUGAAAAAUAAACAUUGCGGUCAAGAGGAAGACUGACCAAGCCAUUUAAAGAGCAUCGAAGGCUCAGCGCUAUGUAAAGUACAACUCCGGUACUAGGAUGAUUGAAGGCCUAGUGGAUUGCAUGUUCACCCAAUCGAGUAGAACUCAUACUCGAUUUCUCUGGAAUGUCGGUAGUAUAAAUUUCCCCUGGCUCCCAAGCUCGAGCUCAUGGCCAUAGAAUAGAUAGAACAUUGUGCUGUGAACAAGAAAAAAUUAGCACACAAGUUUGGGUCAUAUAACUUGAAAAGAAAGUCCACUAGUUUAUGGCUCCUAGCCGAGAACGGCAUUUUGGAGCUCCAUGGAGGCUGAUUUAAAAAUAAUGCAAAAUUCAUUUUUUUUUGUUUCAAAAAAUCUGAAAAGAAUUCUACAACUACACAAGGAUGUGAUGUGAUGUGUAUGUGUGUAAAAUUUAGAAUGGAAUACCUUGAGAUGCGAUCUGUGCAAAAAGAACAAAUUUAUGGACUUUAGGGAUGAAUAGUAUCAUGUGUUGAAAAGCCACAAAUUUGUCUUUUUUGCACAACCUUCAUUUCAACGUAUUUCGUCUUGAAAAUCUGCACACAUGUGUGUUAUGCCUCCAUAUAUGUCUGUAUUUUUUUUCAUAAUUUUUUAAAUAUAAAAAUAUGAAUUUUGUUGAAGUUUGAAUUUGUCAAAAAACCGGCCUGCAUGGAGGCCGAGCUCCAAAAGCAAUUUUUGCUCCUAGCCUUGCCUCACCUUCUUUAUUUUGGCCAAAAGCUCGUACGUAUUGCUGCACAUGACUUUAGUAGUCUGCCGGUUCUUAGAGCAUCUCCGGCCGUUGGCCCCUCGGGAGGCGCUAAAAAUCGCCCCCUAAGACGCACCGGCGAUAAACCACGCGUUGGGGUGUGAUGCCUCCCAGUCGCGGCGCCCACGGUUUUUUAAAUAUAAAUUACGGCACAAACACGGCGCAAAUUCAACCAAACUUCGGCGAGUUCGUUCAUAUUUAAAAUAUUUUACAAAAAGAAAAAAAAAGCUACUAGGCUGCUCCUCGCCGUCUCCCUCGCCGCUCCUCGCCGGCCGCCGUCCUUGCAGUUCUACAUGCCGAGGAGGCUGUAGAACCGCGUGUAGUCGCCGCCGCCGCCGUCGUCGUCGUCGUCGCCGCCCCCGCCACGGCCGCCGUCCCUGCUGCAACCCUCCCCCGGUUAGCGCGGCGGGCUGGACGGUCCGGGGGCGUCCUCGUCGUUGUCGCUGUCGAGGAUCACGACGCCGUGCUCGUCCUCGCGCCCACGUUUGCGGGUGGCUAUCUCCUCCAGGGCCCGGCGCUGCCGGACCAUCUCGUCGCGGAGGUAGUCGUCCCGCGCCCACUGCAGGGCGUCCUCGUCGGAGAUGCCGCGCCGGGCUAUCUCCUCGUACUCCGCAGGGAGGCCGGGCUCCGGCUUGGGCGCAACGAGGACGAGGCGGCCAGAGGCGGGGUGGAGUCGUCGAGGCAGACGCCGGAGCUGCAGGUGCGCCGGCUGACAGGCGUGUCCUGGGGCUCCGGCUUGACGGGGCGGAGGCAGUGAAAGCCGGUCGACCGACCUGACGAGGAGGAGGACGCCCCGGGGUCCAUGCGCCUCGGCGUCCACGAGCUCCCACGGCGGCGAGAGAAGGANNNNNNNNNNNNNNNNNNNNNNNNNNNNNNNNNNNNNNNNNNNNNNNNNNNNNNNNNNNNNNNNNNNNNNNNNNNNNNNNNNNNNNNNNNNNNNNNNNNNNNNNNNNNNNNNNNNNNNNNNNNNNNNNNNNNNNNNNNNNNNNNNNNNNNNNNNNNNNNNNNNNNNNNNNNNNNNNNNNNNNNNNNNNNNNNNNNNNNNNNNNNNNNNNNNNNNNNNNNNNNNNNNNNNNNNNNNNNNNNNNNNNNNNNNNNNNNNNNNNNNNNNNNNNNNNNNNNNNNNNNNNNNNNNNNNNNNNNNNNNNNNNNNNNNNNNNNNNNNNNNNNNNNNNNNNNNCGGUGUGUUGCCGCCCUCGAUGUACUUGAGGACGGCCUCCAGCGUGCGGCCGGCACGCCCCACCAUCGGCGCCGCCCCUCAGAGUUUAGCCUGCCGGAGGGCACGACGCCGUUGGUGGCCUCGAGCUGCUCGGCGUGGCGGCGGCGGAAAUAUGGCUCCCAGAGCGGGUUGUCGGGGACGUAGCGUGGCCCCUCCCUCGCCGCCCGCGGCAGGGAGGCGCGGAUACGCGCGAUCUCCGCACGCCGCGCCGCCCCGGUGGGCGGUGGUGGCACUGGGACCCCGCCGGCGCUGAUUCUCCACGCCCCGGGCACCCGCAUGUCCGGCGAGACCGGGUACUCAGCCUCGAAGAGGAGCCGAGCUUCGUCCUCGUGAAGGUGGCGGCGGCCGAAGCCGUUCGCCGCCGCGCCGUCGCCUGGGAAGCGUUCGGCCAUUUUUUGAGCUGGAGACGGCGAGAGGAGAGGGAGGAAGGGGGAGAAAGGUGGCGUCGGCGGUGGAGACUCUGUGCGUGCCACCGGCGCGCUGGGGGUCGGCUUUAUGUAGGCGGAGGCGCCACGCGUACGCGUGGCAUGCGAGGGGACGCGCGUCAUCUCGUUUUCACUGCGCUGCCCGUGAGGCAUCAAUGGCGGAGGCUGACCGGCGCGGCAGCGCGCAGCAGUUUUGGUAUUGAUUCACCACGGAAAACGAGGCGAUGAGGACGACGAAGCGGCGAGAAGCGAGACGAGUCGCUGGCAAGGAGGAUCCGCGGCUCUUUCGCGCCAAAAACGAUUCGCCCGGCGCCCCCGAGCGCCCCCCAGCGCGUCGGGUUCGGGUUGGGUCCGCCGGCGCCAAUUUCGGCCUGAGCCGGCGAAAAAUGGGCCCUUGGGGGCGCGACUGGGCCGAUUUUUCGGCGCCGGCGGCCGAAAAGUCGCCUGGGGGCCUUGUUGGGGGCGCGGCUGGAGAUGCUCUUACAACCUACAGUUUUGAAGGCCAAAACCCUUAAAGUUUUCACGCCAGCAACUAUUUUGCCCUAACUCUCUCAUUUUAUUUACUCCAAGAAAAAGAUGAGAUAUACCAUAUCUUGCAAUUAUCAAGAACCUGCAACACACUCAGAGUAGGUAUACACUCACUACCAGAAUUUGCUAGUCUACCGAGUGCCCCAAACACUCAUUGAAACCAAGGUUUUGGAUACCAGAUGAAAAAAAAAUAUCUUGUGGGACACCGAGAUUUUUAGUAACCGCCGUAACCAACAAAGAGAAUACCGAUCGGUUACGGAACGAAAUUUUUGAAUGAAUUUUGUGUCCGGAUAAAAUUAAUCCAAUAUUCAGUUUAGUUAAAUUUUAUUUAAAUUAAAAAAUUCAGGAUAUUUUGUUAGUAAGGUGAUUUCUCAUGGGGCACCGAGAUCUGCGGUUACCGCCUGGUCACCGAAUUCUUCCGGCGGUUACCAAAACUCUGGUUGAAACUUGAGACCGUUGAAAAAAUAGCGCGCUAUAGUGUCGUUAAUAGCAUGCUAUAACGUUCUGAGAAAUGCAUCGUUAAAUAAAUCAGUAUACAAUGUCUCACUAAUAGCACGCUAUAGUACGAUAUAGCACACUAAUAGCAUAUUUGAAGGGCCACGCUAUUUUGUCAUAGCACACUAUUUUUUCCAUUGGUUGAAACUAGUGAAACACUUGGGACAAUCUUUCCCAUGGUUGACACUCGGGGCGAAACAUUCGACCCCAGCAUAUAGAUGGCGCAUCGGUGGAGCUGAGCGGAAUUUCCAUUCAAUGGGUGGAAAUUUCUUCUUUAGUAUUUCGAGCCCAUUACUUGAGCCGUAUGACCUUGAAGAAAUGGCAGAUAGGGCAGGAGCAUUGAGAAGCACACAUGGUUAGCAGCAUAUGGGUAUCUUGAGCUAUAGAUGGCGCAUCGGUGGAGCUGAGCACCAUGAGAACAAUACUUGCAAGAGAUUUACACAAACAUAAAUCCCAUGUUUAAAUAUAUAAUUCAUUUAUUUCACUUUGAAGGUAAAUAGUUUAUAAUUAAAGAUCUGUUCAUCCAGCGAACAUGAGAGAACAAUCUUGCUUCCCAAUAUUAUUUGAGGAUGGUAUACAUACUUUCAAGAGAUUAGCGCAGACAUAAAUCACUAACUUCUUUCGCAAAAAAUAAAAAUAAAUCACUAACUUAAAUUGAUGCUCCAUUUAUUUAAUUUUAAGGGUAAAUAAUUUAUAAUUAAAGUUUUGUCCAUCCGUACUUUUAAGUUUGACACAUGGCAUUCAGUAACCAUCAAAAUAUUGAACACAUAACAUACAUCUAAUAAAGUGUCACCAUUGACGGCAUCCCACAACGUCAGUGAAUUUUUUUAGAAAUGAAGGAUGUACCCCCGGCCUCUGCAUCUGAACGAUGCAUGCAGCCAUAUUAUUAAUUAUUCACAAAGAUCAUACAAGGUGAUACAUCAAUAAGCCUGAAGCCACCAACUUGGCAACGCUGUUGCUACACCUAUCUCGUUGACGAAGGCGUGCCGAAUGUCCGGGCCUAAUACCAAACAGACAUCGCACCAAAACCUAACAUCUAAAGCCGGGUGUCCCAUCCAAGCCACUACCUGGAUUGGGGCACACAUCGGUCCGGCACACUCCCAGUAAACACCGCAUGCUGCAAGGGCCGUCAGCUCCAUCUUCCAUCGCUCCAUCCUUGAAGCAGAACUAAUGCACCCAAAGCUUCAGCUUUUUGUGCAAAGCCACUCACAAGCCUCCACCUAGCCCGUGAGACCGUAGUCAGUGGUCACUCGCCGUCGGCUAUGCAUGACCUGAAUGUAGGUGCUACAUCCACCUCUGACUGGGGUGGGCUUGUGACACGUUAUCGGCAACCUAUUAGCGUCGUCGUUUGUAUGUCACCAUUGAUGGCUUUUCAGCAGCCCAUUAGCGCUUAUCUAGACCACUGAUGUGCUGAUCACAACCAGGAAGUGAUGACACAUGUGAGUUGUCGUUUUUUUGUAGUAGUGACUAGUGAGAUCUAUCCUUGCUCAGAUCAGAUGAUAUCAAAGAGUGAGGUCCGGAUGGAAGGCAACGGUGGCUAGUUUCAUUUGGUGCAGUUUGACUUUGAUGCGAUGCAUCACUCAAAACAGAAAAUUCUUUAUCUGAAACUUGUGUCUUGCAAUUUUUAGUUUGAGCUAGUUGUAAGCAAGAUAAGUCAUGCAAAAUCGUCCAGACCUAGAUUAUAGACUAGGAAGAUAUUCCAGAUCUGAAUAAUGAAGGUAAAAUUAGUUGCCAAGCAACAGAAAUACAUCACUCCAUUCGGCAUUAUCCUCAACUUCAUUUUAUCUGUAUCUUUGUUCUGGUAUAAUAAGAACCAUCAAAGUACUUGGCAUAGUACUACUUAUCAAAUAGUAUCUGAUGCAAGGAUUAAUGACAACAAGCAUGGUGUAUGGCCAAUAGGAUGAGUGGGGGUUGACAAUGUCUGCAAGAAGUGUGGUCGAAGCCCGGAAGACAGCCACUCAUACGUCUAAGGUGCACACUGUUUUGGCGCCCCUGGAGAACAUUUUUGCUACCGAGAUGAACAGUAAAUUCAAAACCAAUAUCAAAAUAUUUUGCUAUUUUUAAAUGUCCAUGUUGGUAUCCAAAUCGUGCUUGACAAUUUUAAUGUGCAACGAACAAUACUGUUUCAUCAUAAAAAAAGUCCGGUGGACUAGAAAGGUCAAAAUUUUGGCAUUCAACUUUUUUGUUUGCACAGAUUGAAAAUUUCAAUUGUUUGGCCUUUUCCCCUAAACAUGUGCAGAUAACAUUUUUACAUGAACAUGUCUAAAAUAAUCAUAAGUUUUACACUGGCAGUAACAUUUCUGGCGCGUACGAGCAAAUGUUCCCCAGAGCUGAAUUGGAAUCCGUAUGUCAAAGACAUCUCUAUAGAAAGAAAAAUAAGUUGGAUAGGUGAUCAACUGCAAUAUUCCAUAGUAGUUUUAAGCCAAAAAAAAAUUGCAUGGAGUUUUAAGCCAAUAUGUGCCAACUCAUGAUGCUGAAAAUUUACAUGCUACUUUUUCAGUGUGGUAUAAUUGUAGAUACAAUGUAACUGAAAUUUCCGUAGCUGGCCUUACAUCACUACGUUACGUAGAAUGGUGAAAAAUAAACAUGUACCCUAUAUGUUGCGAUCAAGAGGAAGGCUGAUUGGAUGUACAUGCAAUCCGCUGAGGCCCGUCUAUGGCAAGUAGAAGUCAUACACUUUUCUCAGGCUUGUCGGUCUUAUAAAUUCCCCAUGCCUUCCAAGCCGAGCUCAUGGCCACAAAAUAGACAGCAUUGUGAUGUGAACAAGGACAAACAAUAGCACGCAUGUUUACGUCGUGACUUGACAAGAAAAUUCUCUAGUAUAUGGUUCCUAGCCUUUUUUAUUUUGGCAAAAGGGCUCCUACUUAUUGCUGAACAUGGCUUUAAGUAGUCCAACAUUCUUAUAACCUAAAGUUUUGAAGUCCAAAAAACAUUAGGUGAAUGCACUUUCGUGUCAAGUGAACAAUUAUAUACUCUAUACAUAUACACAGGAACAUGAUAUAAAUUAACCAUCAAAAUAGUUAACCCAUAACAUACNNNNNNNNNNNNNNNNNNNNNNNNNNNNNNNNNNNNNNNNNNNNNNNNNNNNNNNNNNNNNNNNNNNNNNNNNNNNNNNNNNNNNNNNNNNNNNNNNNNNNNNNNNNNNNNNNNNNNNNNNNNNNNNNNNNNNNNNNNNNNNNNNNNNNNNNNNNNNNNNNNNNNNNNNNNNNNNNNNNNNNNNNNNNNNNNNNNNNNNNNNNNNNNNNNNNNNNNNNNNNNNNNNNNNNNNNNNNNNNNNNNAUUUUAAAGUGUUUUUUCAGAGUUUAUUUAAGGUAUGUAUCCUGCUCAGAAAGGACAGGCGGCGGCCUGUAGACUUAAUAAGGUUCUCCCUGCCUAGCCCCCAUCCCGGUGCGUCCAACGUCGGAGGGAAUGUGGAGCUGUGUCUCCGGUGAUCCCGGGAUUCGGUAGGUGUUUGUCUUCGGUUUGUGUGCUUGGGUCUGGCCUUCAUUUGUCUUUGUUUGUGUGCUACAUGUUGGAUCCUUCCAAUCUACGCUUCUCUUCAUGAAGACGGUUAUUGUUCCGGUGCGUUGGUCAUCGGGACCUUACCAUGACGACUUUCCGACUAUCUACUACAACAAGGUUUGUCUGGCUCUGGUGACACGGUGGUGUGCCUUCAGCUGGUUUCGGUUCUUGUAGUCGUCGGUUUGCCUGCCUUGGGUUCUUGUAGUCGCCUUUAUCUAUAUUCAGUCAAAAAAACAUUUUACCUAUAUUAAUAACAAUCAAACACCUGAUGCAAGGAUUAAUGAUAACAAAGCAGGGUGUGAAUCGACUGAACAGCUCAACUAGUACAUGAGAUGACUGACUGACUCUGUGGAUCAUCAGUAGCCCUGUCAAAUAUUCAGGUCUUAAUGUUCGUAGCACCUUCCAGUUCAGCCUAUCAAUUAGGCAUGUAAAUAUUCUAACGGUUCCUGCUUCUGCUUGUACAUUCGGUCGUGCUGCUUAUUUGCUUUGCAAAAUGUGUCAUGUGAGUACCGGUCAAUAGGCUAAUCCAGAUGUGCAACACGAAAAGAACCUAGCAUAUGCGACAUCCAUUUUGAUGGCUGCUAAAGAUUUGCAUUCUGCAAGUAUGAUCGUCUGUUUCUGCACAUCAUGAAUUCCCGCUGCCUCCCAAGCCGCACCAUGAACAUGCAAAGAGACCAUAUACACCCAGUAUUUGUAUGAACCAGACACUCAUGCGUGGAGUACCAUAUACUAGUGUGCUCCACCUCUGCAUAGCCAUAGCUAGUAACACUACUCGACCUAUUGAGAUAUCAACGAUAUAUGGUUGUCCGAUUUGGGCUCCAAAUUCUCUUGAUCUGGGCACAUAUAUGGAGAUAUCACCAUCAAUGUGAUAAUUACUAACUCGCUAGUAGUACCAUGUAGUAGUUGGGAGCAAUUGAGUUGCAUGAGAGUAAAUCGCAGGGUUGUCCACUCCUAACAUUGCAUGCAUGCAUGUAUGUAAAGUGUAAACGAGGCAUGUUCAUGCUGAAGUCUAGAAGCCUCUGAGCCUAAGACUUUUUUUUUCUCAUUUGCCUUGCGGGAGGCCUCACUGCCUGAUCAGAAAUGCGGGAUAUUACUGUAAAUGGAGAAGUGAGUUGAAGACUUGGUCAACUGCAAAAUUCAAGUAUAGUUUGAAGCCAAUACGUGCCAACUCAUGAUAUUUAGAAUUUACAUGCUACUUGCCAAAGUCAAAUUAGUAGCCGAAUUGGUCGCACUAGGUAUUCCCUUACGUCAUUACACAUAAAGGUAAAAAAUGAGCAUGUACAGUAGGAGGCGGAGUGUGACAACAAAGUAGGGAGGGGCUAAUUGGUAUGCCCUAGUAGCACAUGCCAAAUAAGCAAAUUAUCUCACAUGGACCACCAUUUACUGAUUUUAUUGGGGCUAAUACCUAUGUUUUCGUGUUAGAAAGACCAUGCCGUGGCCCGGUAUGGUCCUUAGGAAGCUCCGCCCUAACAGUACAAUGUUACCAAUCCAUUUAAAGAGUAUCGAAGGCUGGGAGCCAUGUCAAGUGGAACUCUGGUUCUAAGAUGAGCAUGCAUUCCACGGGAGCCUGAGAUUGAAAAGAUAGAAACAAAUGAAGAUCGAACGGCAGGAAAUAGCUCUUCCCCGGAGGCCCUGAGAGGGCUCUUGAUUGACCAGCCUUACAUGUUUGUGGAGACUUGUAAACAUCAAUGCAAGUGUUCCAAACUCGACAUCGGCUACAUACAUUUAUGGGGCCGACUAUUACACAUUGGCUUGUAAAAACGUUAGUUUCACUCAAAUUGCUCUCCACGGUCGGAUCAUUACCGUUGGCCCCCUAAUUCCGGUUGCAACCUAUCAUUCAGGCUUUAGAAACCACUGAGGCAAAACUGCUCAAGAUGGUGCGCUGAGUAUCAGAGUAAAUGGAUUCAGGUGACCAACGAAUUUUACGUGCCACGUACCUAUAUCUGUAUAUAUAGGUACUCGAUCAACUCGUCUAUAUAUGAACCCAAUGGAAAUUCAAAGCUGAACCCAUCAAAGUCAGAACGCACCAGCCAAAAGCCUAAUCCAUAGAAGUUUAGAGCAUCUCCAAUAAUAGAUCACCCUAAAAAAAUCUCCAAUAAUAGCCCUAAAUUUUAGCCAAAAACCUAGAAACAUAAAUUUUGAAAACGGCUCGUCUCCGACUUCGUCAGUCUCAAGAUGAGGUUCCAGCUCAGUCAACCGGAGGUGCUCAUAGGGAUAAGGUGUGGGUGUGUGCGUUCAUAAAGAUGUGUGUAUGUACGUAUGUAUGAGCGUCUACGUCUGUAUACCAUGUUAACAAAAAAUACAUAUAUGUUAGACUACGAGAGGCCAAAAAAAUUAGUUAGCCACCCAUAUUUUGCUACCAAGGAUCCAUAUUUGGUUCCAACCUACCACACAUCAAAAGGACCAAAAAACAACUAUGGGAAAGCUAACCACCUGCGCGAGAACAUUCCACCCGCCGUGACCGCUCUGGACGUCGAGAUGCCAUGGAAGGCAUCCCCGCGGCCACCGCUGCCAGCUUCCCUUGUUGUCGUCGCUCCCGUGGUCACCACUGCUACCGGGCCAAAGACAAAGGCCGUUUGCCGCCUAGGGCUUUUGCAUCCACCAACCAUCGUCGCCAUUGUAACACUGAAGGACGCCGCCAUCCACUGCCAAGGGUGCCACGCAGAGAGCAAACUCGCUGGGAAGCAUCCGUCGCGGGAUACAACAGUUGUGGAUGCGGCCAGCAUGAAGAAGAAGGCGGGGACGCCCCCACCACCGGUGAUCCCUACACCUCCCCUCCCACCGCCUCCCGAGGUCGAGUUGGCGCCUCCGAUUUCCAAGGUCGUCGGCGUCCCCAACUUGUUCGGUCAAAUGACCGAGGUAAAAAAGAUUAUUCUGUUGUUUCACUGAAUUCCAUGUGUUAUUUCAUUGUAUGCAAUUGUGAUGUGAUAUGUGUGUAUUUUGUUCAAAUUUGAUGUUUGUAGUAUGGAUGAUGACACUUUUUGCAAUAUAGUUGUGCUGCAUCGGAAUAUCCAUCACAAAAUUUUCCAUCUCAAGAAAAUGCAUCGCAAGAAGAGCGUGUUCUUGACAUGGAAGAGAAAUGAGUUGUUGCUCCAACUCCACAUACUACGGGGAGAGGAGCAAAUUACACUACCAAAGAAUACAAGUUGUUCUGUGAGCAUGAAAGAAAAUUGGUCUGUAUCCGGUCAUCGGUGUUCAACAACAAAGUUCGAGCUACGGGGAGUGUAUCUAUGACUACUUCAAGGCCACCAACAAGGGUGACAUCAUCUAUCACAAGUUUCGGUCCCACAGCGAUGGCAAAAUAUAUCUAUGUAGUGUCCAAAGUGGUCGGCAUGUGUGGCAAAAGUUGAUUGUCUCAAUCCAAGUGGUACAAAUACCGAUGAUAAGGUCAUUGCUAUUUUCAUGGAUCAAUUAUUUCACCAUCUCUUAUAUGCAUUGGUAGAUUAAAAGAAUUCGCACUCGUGGUAUGUAGAUUAACAUUGCUUAAUAAUUGUACAAGGGCAAAGAAAAGAAGAAAGCUGCAAAGAAAGGUAUGGAAUUUAGUUUGCAACAUUGUUGGGUGGAUCUUUGAAAUGAGGAGAAGUGGAAGAACCGCCUCAUCAAUAAAAUUACAAAUAAUAAGAAGUCACAUAGAUCAGCUGGAGAUGCUUUACAAGUUGACACCAAUGAUGAUGCAUCAAGUGAUGAGUAGGGGAAAAUAAGCCCCACUCCCAACUCGGUUGCUACUAAGAGGCCUGAUGGGAGGAAGAGGCAAGGAGAAGUUGUGAAAGGAAGGAGACAAUGACGACAAGGAAUCAUUGGAAAACAUGAUGGCAAUAUGAAAUGAGAGGGCCACGGAAAGGGCCAACUUGAGGACCAAAGAAAUGGAGGAGAGGAAGGAGGCCCAGGAGAGGAGAAUGGCGGCUGGGGAGAGGAGCUCCAUGGUUGAGGAGAGGAAGGCAACCUACGAUGAAAGAAUCAAGAGCUUGGAAAAUGAGCAAAAGCUCGUGUUCAUGGAUCCCAAGUGUUCUUGAUGAUAAGGGAGAGCAUACUUUUAGCUUAUGUGUGAUCCAGUGUUGGCGACAAGGCCUAUGGGAGGCCCGCGGGAGGAUCAAUGGGAGGAUUUGGAGGCGUGAGUGUCAUGGGUGGCAUGAGAGGCAUGGGUGACAUGGGUGGCUAUGGUGGCGUGGGAGAUAAUGCAAGCACUACUGAUGGCAAUGGGGACAAUGACAUUUGUGAUCUCUGUACAUUUAUGUUCUAUGCACUUCUAUUUGUGUUUGUGAUGCACAAUGAUUGCGGUCUUAGGCUUAAAUUUGAACUUCAAUUUAAAAUAUUGUGGACUUGAACAUGGAUUGAAAAUAUUGUCGAUUAUGUGUGUUGUGAAGUUGAAAAGUUUUAAUUAUCAUGCCAUGGUUUGUUUGGAUUAUACAUGCAUUUGUGGGACAGAGAAGAAGAAGACCAAAAUAUGGGUAUCCAGUUUUCAGUAUAAUGUAAAAGCAAAGAAAAUCUUGGAUAUCCAAAUAUUCUUUCCUUUAUCUAAAAUAGAUUUGAAUAGCCAAGAUUUGGGCCUGCUAUUGGAGAUGCUCUUAUAACAUGAAUAGCCCAACCAAAAACAAGCUGGGGAAUUAGAUGAUCUGCCCCAAUAUUGUUUCAAUGAUGAGUGGUCCCAGCCCCACGAGCCAAUCUCAAGGAGGGGGCAAAUUUAAUCUUAAACAGUAAAGUGUGGGUUAAGAUCUAAUUUCUCAGAGCGAGUUCGAUUCCAUAAUUAAUAUUUCGUCUUGGAAGGAUUGAUACUACGAAGAAGAUGUCUCUAGGAGAUUUCAUUGUAAUUCUUAGUUGUAAGAAUUAUUUAAUAGUUUCUUGGAUUUUGUAUACAAAGCAUUAUACCUGUAAUAUUUGCGAAUAUAAAUAAAGCCAUGGGUACCUCUCUAAAGAAAGCAAUCGAUUUCAUCUCUCGUGUGUGACAAUUUGCACGCCUAUCCUACUCGCUUCGCCGACUCGAUAACUCCUCACACGGCAGGUCUCUCAUUCCCCAAUCGCCCGGUUUUCAAUACCAAGCCGACAAUGGCAGAUCGGCAGCAGCAAGCCGGUAAUUCAGCCUCAAGGUAGUAAAGAUCACAUCACAAUAUAUCCUCUCCUCUUCUGCAUGCAUGUCCUAUUUAGCUAGUACACAGUAUAGUAAUACUAUCGGCUCUAGUUUUCUAAUAUCCUGGGGAGGGAGGGGCGCGCGCCGCCCUACACAGUAUCACUACAAUAUCUAAGCUCCUUUGAAUUUAAGGGCUGUAAGCGCUCCGGGGCUAGGAGGGUCAAGUGACCACAUCACUUAUUUUCGUAGAAGAAACACUUAAAUUUUUUAGGAGAACCACGGUCUCUUACUAGGUGAGUAGAUAUUUUUUAAUACAAUACAGUCGAAAUCGCUCAUAUACACAAGCAUACACUUACCCUAUGAAUGCAUGCACGCGCGCCCUACCCAUAUGAGCUCUUUCAAGAAAUUGAGCCGACACAUUAUUUUGAGAUUGACAAGACCACCGUAGACGCCAUUGUAGUCGAUGGGAACAUCUCCUCCCACUGAACGCACAUCGCCAAAAGCCUGGAACAAAUCUAGAAAAAUGCGAGCACCAAUGUCAAGUCUGAGACUUGAACUCUGGUGAUCAGGGGAUACCAAUGUCCUCCUAACAAUCCAACAGUAGGUAUGGUUUAUUGUUUGGGUCAACCAUCCAACUACGUAUGUCCAACACUUGAUGGGUUACGUGUUGCUUAAUCCUUGAACUAAAACCACGGCAUUAUUUUUUAAUCAGAGGGGCAACUUUUAUGCAAGAAAAAAGGGUUACAUGUCGCUCAUGCACAUCUGGUACGAGGGAAAUUAAUGACGCGGCCAAUUAUAUCCAUGCCUAUCAAAGUGAUGUAUCAUCACACAACACAUGGUUACCGCUAGCUUGGUCCAUCGCUGCCUCCUCUGCGUCACAUGGUUGCAUGGGCGCCAUAAGUCCAUCACCACUCCUCAUGGCCCGCCCAUGUCUCCAUAUUUCUCCUUUCCCUCAUUUCGGCACACCCGAGCAAUCACCAUCUCCUCGCACCACACGGUUACACAGGCACCCGACCCAUCACCUGCUCCUCCCUGUCAUAUGGUUGCAUGGGUGCAGCCAGUCCAUCACCGCCUCCUCCGUUCCACACAAUUGCACGGGCGCCCGACCAACACCGCCUCCUCCGCACCACAAGCUUGCACGGGCUUUGCAUGUCGACCACCACGCCACACACCCCGCCUAUCGCCUCAUCUUUCUCCUCUUAUUUUGUGCGGUAAUUAACAUCCAACAACGAUGCUCGGGGCCUAGAGGAGUAGGUGACAAGGUAGGCCGCCACGGCUAGCAACGGCGUUGUACAUAGGCAACUGCCAUCUUUGGAACUUGGUCGCCUUCAUCGACACGCCAUGGUCCACAAGGUCUGCAGUACAACUCCCGAUACGUCCUUCCUCUUCCUCUGUCAUCCUUUCUUUGAUAGCCUGAUUCAAAUUCAAUCUUGCUCGCUUCGGGGCUAAACAAGUAGCAAAUUAUCUUAGAGUGUAAGGUUUCAAUUUGAAAGCCUCAUCCUGCACUGCUUGAGUACCAUGUCCGUGCUUGUGGAUUAACAACCUCGGGUAGUUUAUACAUUGCAUGCUUUAUACUGCCUUUGUUCCACAAUGCAGUGCAUAUUUGUUUUUUCAGAAGUCAAAAAAUGUCCAUGUUUGACCAAGUUUCUAGAAUAAACUAUCAGUAUCUAAAGUACUAAAUAAAUAAACUAUAAAAGUACAUGUGGAUGUUGAUUUUUUAAAAACUUGGUCAAACAUUGAUAGGCUUGACUUUUCAAAACAAAGUAUGUACUAUAUUUUAAAACGGAGGGAGUAUUAGUUAGCAUAUGGUUCCACGCCUAAGGAGCACAAUCUCUAACUGAACUUAAUUGGCACUAAAACAAUAAAACAAGAUGAUAACUAGGUUAUUCUGUGAAGAUAAUUUGGUUAAUUGUCACCGGGCCACUUAUGUACACAACUGAUCAGGCCUUAUUAAUGCAUCAAUAAUGUUGCAUUCAAAUGAAAGCUAAGAUCAAUCACUUGUACUAUUAUGUCUUGAUCCUCCCAUUUCCGUCUCUUCCUCUUAGAGGCCGCUAUAAACAUACUUCAUUCCCUUUCCUAUCGUUAGUCAGUGCGAAGCAUUGCUUUUAUUUCAAAUAUGUUCUUUCUGUUAUGAUUCUAACUACCCAUCUAAAUGAUCAAUAUCGAAAACCAGAAACCAUAUACUUUGGUGUUGUGUUGCAACUUCCAAGUAUUUCUCACUCCCACUACCAUUUUACUGUUAUUACAGACCAUUAUUGUUGGUGUUUAUCUGACCAAGCUAAGUUAUGAAAUAUCGGUUGGUCAAAUCCUAGAGCUGUAUGAUUGUUGUAGAUGUAUACUACAAUCAGAAGCCUCAGUUAUGCAUAUCAUAGUUUUGAAUUAGUUUUGCAGAUGAAUAUUAUUAUGUCCAUCCAGUACUAUGGUUUAACCAUGCAGGUCCGGGACAUGCCCAACCACUACUUUGGAUAUGUUUUUGACAGUGUUGUUAACACAUCAGUAACAAACAAACAAAUAAAUGGUAGAAAAGUAGAACAACGCGGCAAGGCGCGUGUAUGCUUCUAGUAGUAAUACUAUCAGCCCUAGUUUUCACGAGGUAGGGGCGCGUCUCUCCCUUGCGUCUCUCCCUCCUGCCCCGAAACCCUCGNNNNNNNNNNNNNNNNNNNNNNNNNNNNNNNNNNNNNNNNNNNNNNNNNNNNNNNNNNNNNNNNNNNNNNNNNNNNNNNNNNNNNNNNNNNNNNNNNNNNNNNNNNNNNNNNNNNNNNNNNNNNNNNNNNNNNNNNNNNNNNNNNNNNNNNNNNNNNNNNCCUCCCUUCCCCCCGGAUCCGCCCUCGCGCUGCCUCCCCGGUAGGCGACCGGGGCGGCGCGCGCCCCUCCCCUUCAGCCCCCUUCCUCCCCGCCUACCCCCGCCGCCGCCGGCAAGUGCCCCGGCUCUGGGCCCGGGUGGUGUCGGCGGCGGCGGGAUGUCCUCUUCCCGCGUGCGUGUCCUCCCUACCCGGGGUGGGGGGCGGCGGCGGCCCGGCGACCCGGCGGCGGGCGUGGUGGUGGCGCGGCUCCUUGGCGGCGGGGCGCCCCCGGCUCAGAUAUGGGCCCUUCGGGCCCCAUCUGGGUCCUAGCGUUUCGGCCCCUGGCGUGCCUUCGUUGUCCUCUGCGUGGUGAGGAGGAGGAGCGGCUUGGAUCGGGGGCGGCGACGCCGACGGCGUGCCGGCUGCAGCGUGAAGCCGGGAACUUUACGGGCCUCGGAGAUCCCGGCCGGGCCUGUGCGGCCACGGGCCUGGUAUGUUCCUACUAUUGCGUCCGGUCAGCUACCGUCGUUGAUGGUGGAGGUGGGGCCCUCCCGCAUGCCGAUGGUGCUGCUGCCCUAGUCCCGGCUCCUCUUCUUCAUUGUGCAGACCAUGCUUCGCGGUGCCGUGGUGAGACAAAGUGGGAAGCUUCAUGUCCGGGUUGGCGCUGGGUGGUGGUCGGUUUGGUGGCGAGCUCCGAAGUGCCUGAGGUGAAAGGUUGGGAUCGGGAGAAAUCCCUGUUAGCUUGGCCGACACCGACGCGGUGGCGCAUGAGGGUGCCGCCGGACCUUCCUGGAGGGCGUCGGGGCUACCCUUUCUCUCUCCUCUCAGCGUACCGGGAAAAACCCAGCAGCGUCGUCAUCGUCGUGUCCCUUCUUGGAGGUGUUAAUUGGUACCGGCGCUUCGGAGGCUCGGAACUUCGCGGGCGAGCUCCGGUGGAUGCAGCGGCCACGAGGUGCUUCCGCCCCAGCACCUAUCGUUGGUUGUCUCGGUUGGUUGCUUUGUAUACAAAGCGGGGGAAACCCUUUUUCGGUAAUAUCCUUUUUCCAAUCUUUGAUUGAUCCAAGUUAUGGGACGAUGCAUUUGCCAUAUAUAUUUUACACCAAGUGAAACAGAGUAUCCACACUGUUGAUUAGCUAUUGCGAGAACGUCAGUGGCAUCUGAGCACUCAGAGCUUCAACUUCUAUGUGCAAAGCCACUCACAUGCUUCCACCCAGCCUUUCGGUGUAGCCCAACCACUCGUUAGUGGUCACUCGCAAUCAGCUAUGUGUGACCCGAAUGUAGGUGCUGCAUCCACCUCUGGCUGGUUGGCUUUUAACUCCUCUGGUCGCCGCUUGUCUGUCACGGCUAAUGGCAUGCAAAAAAACCGUUAGCGAUGCUAUACACCACGUACAUGCUGAUCAGAACCAAUAAAUUGUGAAUUAUCAUGUAUACAUUUUUUGUAGUAGUAUGAUAUAUCCUCACUCGGACCAGAGGAGAUCAAAGAAAGAGCUUUGGAUGGAUGCCACAGCGAUGAGCUACUCUCAUUUGGUCCUGUUUGAUGCCAUGCAAUGCUUAAAAAUAUUAAUUGUUUGUCUGACAAUAGACUAAGAAGGCAUUCUAAACCUCAAAUGAAGGUAGCAUUAGUUGCCAAGUAGCAGAUUUGCAUCAUUCGGUCGACAUUACCCUCAAAAUUCAUUUUAUCUGUAUUUUUUAUAUAAAAAAUCAAAGCACUUGGCCAUAUUAGUAAUGAAGCACCUGGUGCAAGGAUUAACGACUGCAAAACAUGAUGUAAAUCUAUCGGAAGAGCUCAACGAGUAUCGUGGAUCAGUUUAUUAGAGUUAUUGUACUAUAUGUAUUGGGUAUAGAGUAGUACUCUAUCCCAAUACGUAUCCUCUUUGUAUACGCCACCACGGAGGCUCUUCCCGUAUAUAUAAACACGUAACCGGCUACCCCAAAGGGUACGUCCGUUCAACCCAAAAUCAACAUGGUAUCAGGCCCCUCCCUUCCCUCCCUCUAGCCGCCGCCUCUGGAGCUUCUCUCCGUCGCCGCCAGGACUUGGUCGCCGGUCUUCCCUGCCGACCUCACACCAACAACUUAGCCUCUACAGGAUCACGCCUACAAACACCACGCCCUUGAUCGCUUCGAUCGCCUUCAGGACAAUUCCAAUCUUCAACAACCCUCAAACACCCAAACCCUAGCCGAUCUCUGCCGCGACACAUCAUCCAUGGCGUCUUCGUCUUCCUCUGCUGGGGCGACCAUUGGUGCUCCCCCUGCCACAAAGCUCACGCGGGACAACUUCCUCUCGUGGCAAGCUCAAGUCCUUCCCACCCUCCGUGGAGCUCGCGUCAUGCGAUUGCUCGAAGGUUCUGAUCUGCCACCGCCUGAGUUCGUCGAUGGCGAAGAUGCUGACAAGGAGAAGAUCCAGAUUCCCAAUCCUGCCUAUGAUGUCUGGAUCACGCGGGAUCAACAGGUCGUAAGCUACAUCGUCAACUCUCUGUCUGAAGAUAUUCUCUCUCAUAUCUAUGGUAUGGUUCAUGCGGCUGAAGUUUGGCAUGCUAUCCACGAGCUGUUUUCUUCUCAGUCCAAAUCACGGGUUUCGGCAUGCUAUCCACGAGCUGUUUUCUUCUCAGUCCAAAUCACGGGUUUCCAACAUCCGUGGUGCACUCAUCAACACAAAGAAACUUGAUAUGACAGCCCAACAAUAUAUCACCAAGAUGAAAGGUUUUGCUUCUGAACUUGCUACUGCGGGAAAGAUUGUUGAUGAUGAUGAACUCAAGGAUUAUAUCAUGAAUGGACUUGAUAGUUCCUAUAAUGGUUUUGUUGCUGCUCUCAAAGUUGUUCCCUCCACAUCUCUCAAUGACAUGUGCUCUCAGCUGCUGUCUUACGAAAGCCGUGAUGCUAUGCUCUCUGUUACUGGUCAAGCUUCCGGGUCGUUUAUGUCCUCUAUUAAUGCUGCUUCUCGUGUUCCGAACCUUGACUCUGCAGGAGGUCCGGCGAAACAGCCAGCAUCAGCACUAUACAUGCCCCCUCAUCAUCCUUCCUACCAGCCGGCCCACCAGUAUCAGCCGGUCGCUCCAUAUGCGCCUGCUCCUCCGGUCGCUCAGUAUGCGCCUGCUCCUCAGUACCCUCCACCGGCUCCAUACAUGUCUCCAUACCACCAGUCGGCUCCUUACAUGCCCCAUCAGUACCCUCCACCAGCUCCAUACCCGCAGCAGUUUGUACCAGUGCCGUAUAUGCAGCCCUACAUGCCUCCUCCACAGCAGCAACAGCGCCCUCAACGUCCUCACCAACAGCAGCAGCAGCAGCAGCGCCCACGUCAGGACCGUCGUCCAAAAGGAGGGCGCAAGGAUCGUCGUGCCACACCAUGGCAGGAAGGUAUCUUCUGCCAAAUUUGCAAAAAGGAAGGUCAUCCGGCUGAUGAGUGCUGGUGGCGCUAUGGUGAUGAUGAUGAUACUGACAAGCCACCAAAGGAGACCAAAGGUGCCUAUGGUGUUGAUAGAAACUGGUAUAUAGACACAGGUGCAACCAAUCAUGUUAAUGGUCAGCUCAACAAGCUCCAUGUUCAUGAACCAUAUCAGGGGCAUGAUCAAGUUAAUACUGCUAGUGGACAAGGUAUGGAUAUUGCACAUAUUGGUCAUUCUAUUUUGCACACCCCUGAUAGCUCUAUCCAACUUCGCAAUAUUUUACAUCUUCCUGGUGCAUCUAUGAAUUUACUCUCUGCUCAUAAACUUGGUCUAGACAACAAUUACUAUCUGGAAAUUCACCCUUUUUUCUUCUUGAUUAAGGAUCAGGCAACGAAGCGCACCGUGUUUAGAGGUCCCUGUCAUGGAGGCUUGUAUCCACUCGUUCCCGUGUCUUCGGAUUCCUCCAAGCAUGCUCUUGCCACUAUCCAGCCUUCAUCCUCUACAUGGCAUCGUCGUCUAGGCCAUCCAUCUUCGUUUAUUGUUCAGAAAAUUCUUAGGAAGCAUAAACUUUUAUAUUCCCCAGAAAUAAAUCCUUACAUAUGUGAUCCAUGCCAACAGGCCAAGAGUCAUCAGCUACCCUACCCUGUAUCCACUAGUGUGUCUACAGUUCCUUUGGAACAAAUAUUUUCUGAUGUAUGGGGUCCAGCUCCUCUCUCUGUAAGCAAACAUGCAUACUAUGUAAGCUUCAUUGAUGAUUUUAGCAAGUUUACCUGGAUUUAUUUACUUAAGAAACGCUCUGAAGUGUAUCAAGUUUUUCUUGAUUUUCAACAGUAUGUUGAGUGCCAAUUUGGUCGAAAAUUCUCACCAUGCAAACCGACUGGGGUGGUGAAUAUGAAAAAUUGAACAGUUUCUUUCAACGUAUAGGCAUUGUUCAUCAUGUGUCAUGUCCCCAUGCUCAUCAACAAAACGGUUCUGCUGAACGCAAACACCGUCACAUUGUUGAAGUAGGCCUUGCUCUACUUGCCAACGCUUCUAUGCCUCUCAAGUUUUGGGAUGAUGCCUUCAUCACAGCUACCUUUCUUAUAAACAUGCUUCCUACCAAAGUCCUCAAUUUUGACACUCCCAGUGAAAAACUUCUCCAAAUCACACCCAAUUAUGAGCCUCUCCGUAUCUUUGGUUGUGCUUGCUGGCCCAACCUUCGUCCAUAUAACAAACAUAAACUCUCUUUCCGAUCCAAACGGUGUGUUUUUCUUGGAUAUAGUCCUCGUCACAAAGGUGUUAAAUGCCUUGAUGUGACCACUGGUCGUGUUUAUGUUUCUCGAGAUGUUGUCUUUGAUGAGAAUGUUUUCCCAUUUGCUUCUCUUAAUCCUAAUGCUGGUCGACGUCUCCGUGAAGAAAUUCUUCUUCUUCCACAAGAUAACUCAUCUUCGGCAUGUAUGGAUAGGGGUGUGCAUACUAAUGAUCAUUAUUUGCGUCUUGUUCCUGAUGUUAAUCCUCCUCAGGUUGCUGUCAACGAAACCCCGGUUGUUUCAGCUCAAGCAUCUGGUCAAAAUUCUGAGGAAAAUGCAUCACAUAGCACAUCAAAUAACGCUACACAGCAGGAGAACAGGACAACAUGCGUAACAGGAGAUAUGAGCAAUCCCAAGGCUGAUUUUGGUUCAGAUUCUCCUCUGGGAUCCGUGCAGGCACACUGCAGCAACAGCACUCCCCUCGUCAGUACGUCAGGCGCGCAAUCCCAGGAGGAUCUCGGCGCGUUGCAUGCGCCAGCAGCCGACAGCCCCAUCAGCGUGGGGCCCUCCAGCCGCGCCACCACGGCCCGGUGCGGCUCACCGAGCGCCACGCGCGCGAUAGAUGGGACGGUGGCCGACCAGACGACAGGGGCAGGACCCAGCCUGAACGCCUCGCCCCGCGCGACCGAGCGGGUGGCCAACGAGGGCGCUGGAGCACCGAUCGCGAGGGAGAUCUCCUCGGAUCUGGAGCGAUGGGGUGCAGCGGAUCUGGCUGGAUCUUCUGUGAAUAGGGAUUCUGCUGACUCUUCAGGAUCUUUUGUGCCUUCCACUCCUGCACCACCUCCUGUUGUUGGAGUUCAAACUAGGCUGCAAAAAGGUAUUCGAAAACCGAAACUAUAUACCAAUGGUACUGUUAGGUAUGCCCUUCUAACAGCUACAGGAGAACCCAAGAAUCUUUCUGAGGCUCUUACUGAUCCAAACUGGAAACAUGCUAUGCAAGAUGAAUAUGAUGCUCUUGUUGCUAACAAAACCUGGCAUUUAGUGCCUCCCAGUUCCACUAAAAAUAUCAUUGAUUGCAAAUGGGUUUAUCGCAUCAAGAAACAUGCUGAUGGCACUGUGGACAGGUACAAAGCACGUCUUGUUGCAAAAGGAUUCAAACAGAGAUAUGGUAUUGACUACGAGGAUACUUUCAGUCCUGUUGUUAAGGCUGCCACUAUCAGGAUUGUUCUUGCAAUAUCAGUUUCUCGAGGCUGGAGUUUAAGGCAGCUAGAUGUGAAGAACGCAUUUUUACAUGGUGUUCUGGAAGCGGAGGUUUACAUGAAACAACCACCAGGUUUUCAGUCUUCCGCUAAUCCAAAUUAUAUUUGCAGACUUGAUAAAGCAUUAUAUGGUCUGAAACAGGCUCCUCGAGCUUGGUACUCUCGCCUGAGUUCCAAGUUACACACUGGGUUUUCUUCCAUCCAAAGCUGAUACUUCAUUGUUCCUUUUUGAUAAGCCAGGACUCACUAUAUUCCUCUUAAUUUAUGUUGAUGACAUCAUUGUUGCAAGCUCCUCUGAUUCGGCUAUAUCAGCUCUCCUUCAUCACUUAAGUUCGGAUUUUGCUCUCAAGGAUCUUGGCGAUCUUCAUUAUUUUCUAGGUAUUGAGGUUCACAAACAGUCCAAUGGGCUGCUUUUAAGUCAGGAAAAAUAUGCUACAGACUUACUGGCUCGUGUUGGUAUGCGUUCUUGCACGCCAUGUCCAACACCCCUCUCCACUACAGAAACAUUACGCUUGACAGAUGGAUCUCCUCUUGGAUCUGAGGAUGUUACACAUUAUAGAAGCAUUGUUGGGGGACUCCAGUAUCUGACACUGACUCGCCCUGAUCUUUCUUUUUCAGUUAAUAAGGUCUGUCAGUUUCUUCAUGCUCCUACUACUGCACAUUGGACUGCUGUUAAACGCAUUUUGAGGUAUAUUCAGGGCACAAGUAAGGUUGGUCUUACUUUCCAACGGUCCAGCUCCACCCUUCUCAGUGCCUAUUCCGAUGCAGAUUGGGCAGGUGAUCUGGAUGAUAGACGCUCUACUGGUGGAUUUGCUAUAUUUUUUGGGCCCAAUCUUGUUUCUUGGAGUGCCAGAAAACAGCCUACUGUGUCCAGGUCAAGUACAGAGGCUGAAUAUAAAGCUCUUGCAAAUGCCACUGCUGAGCUUAUUUGGGUUGAAGCACUAGUUCGUGAACUUGGUGUUUCCCUUCAGGUGAAACCAUGCUUAUGGUGUGAUAAUGUUGGUGCUACCUACCUGUCUGCCAAUCCAGUUUUUCAUGCCCGUACAAAACACAUUGAGAUAGACUUCUGCUUUGUUCGCGAACGGGUUGCUCGCAAGCAACUUGAUGUCAGGUCCAUAUCAAGCAAGGAUCAGAUUGCAGAUGGUUUCACAAAAACAUUAUGUGUAAAAAAAUUAGAUGAGUUUAAACGUAAUCUAAACCUCUCCCAGGUCUAGAUUAAGGGGGGGUAUUAGAGCUAUUGUACUAUAUGUAUUGGGUAUAGAGUAGUACUCUACCCCAAUACGUAUCCUCUUUGUAUACGCCACCACGGGGGCUCUUCCCGUAUAUAUAAACACGUAACCGGCUACCCCAGAGGGUACGUCCGUUCAACCCAAAAUCAACACAGUUGCCCUGUCAAAAUUUCAAAUUUUAACACUCAUGGCACCUUCUAAUUCAGCCUAAUCAAUUAAGGAGGUAGACAUUGCUCUGUUUCUUAGUUUUGGCAGAUCUGCACCUGGCAUUUGUUUGUCUCUUGUUAUGCAAGCUCGUUUUCCGCUUCUGUGAGCAUGUACAGUGUGUUGCUUCUCUGUGUUGGAACCAAAAGGAGCAAUUUACUAAAAUCACGCAUAUGCAAGAUCCCUCUAUAUCACCACCAUCACUUUGCAUUUUUGCAAAUUUUCUUUUUCUUGAAACAAGCCAAAAGAUUGUCAUUUUCAUUGAUUAAGAAGAGAGUGAGAAUUGCUCGGUUAUUUGGCGGAAAACCGAGCUAAACCGAUACAACCCAACCCACAUAACAUGGGCACCACCGGCCAACCUGGCCACCUACAUGGGACUCUGAGCUACAAAGAAGAAAAGACAUCCGCCGAGGAGUCGCAAGUGUCAUCAUCAUCACCGGCUACUUCCGAACAAGCGACUCCGACUUCACCAUAGAACUCUGUUAGCGAAGCCAAACCGCAAGCACCUCAUCAAGAGCCACGACGGCACAUGCCAAGAGAUGGCCACACACACGAACAACCGAUAACUCCGACUUUGAUGGCGAGCUUCGCAAGGGAAAUAUGCAAGACUAGCACCGAUCAUGCCCUUCGCAAACGACCACCGAGUGCCUGUCAUCUUCACCACCUAGACUCGCUCCACCACAACUCCGAUUUCAAAGCAACCAGACAAGUAUAAUCUUGUGUGUGGGCACAUCUUCAAUUCCCGAUGCCUCACAAGCCACAUCCAUGAAAUGCAAACAGAUCAUAUAUAUUGAAGAUUUGUAUGAAGCCGACAUUCAUGUGUCGAGUAUCGCGUAUUACUACUUUGCUUCACCACUACAUACUCGUAGAUAGUGACACUAAUCGGCCCAUUGAGAUAUCGAUGAUAUAGGAUUAUCUGGUUUGUAUUCCAAACUCUCUCGGUCUGGGUACAUAUAUGGAGCUAUCACCAUGAAUGAAUAAUUACUAACUCACUAGUAGUACCAUAUAGUAGUUGAGAGUAAUUGAGAUGCAUGAUAGGAUGGUCCUUGCCUAACGUUGCAUCUUAAAGUCCACAAGCCUCUGAGCCUAUACAAGGUUUUGUUUUCUUUUUCUUGUGGAUAUCUCUGUAAAUGGAAAAGUGAGUUCAAGACUUGAUCAACUAUAAAAUUAGUAUAAUUUUAAGCCGUUAUGUGCCAACUCAUGACAUUGAGAAUUUACAUGCUACUUGUCUAUGUCAAAUUAGUAGCUGGCUUGGUCGUAUUAUGUAUUCCUUUUAUGUCACUGCACAGAAAGGUAAAAAGUGAACACGUACAAUGCAUGUUACCAAUCCAUUUAAAGAGCAUCGAAGGCUGGGAGCUAUUUCAUAGUUUCUUGGAUUUUCGUUACAAAGCAUUAUAGGUGUAAUAUUUGUGAAUAUGAAUAAAGUCGCGGGUAUCUCUCUAGAAAAAGCAGUCGAUUCCAUCUCUCGUAUGUGACAAUUUGCAUGCUUCUCCUACUUGCUUUGCCAACUCGGUAACUCCCCAGAUGACAGGUCUCUCGUACCCAAAUUCAAGGUAGUAAAGACUGCAUCGCAAUAUAUCCUCCCUCUUCUUGCAUUUUAGACUCCGUCAAAAGUUGAGGGAUAAAAAGUAUAUUGUUCUCUUUCAGAUAGUGUAUGUUAUCUAUUAAAUAUUUUUUGAUGAAUAACAUAUGUCAUGUCUUAAAUUUCAAAAAUAAUUUUCGGAAGGACUUAGCUUUUCCAGGAUCCCGUGGGGCAUCAAAUUAUCUGGCAAGUCUCUUCUUACUAGUGUUGUACAAUUUUAUUUCUUCACCCGGCAUGCUUUAGUGGUAAAAGAAUUAUAGCAACAUAGCGUGAGGUCCAUAGCUGUACAACAACUGGUGAUCAAUUUUGUUUUGAGAAACAUCAUUCCAUAGUGUAUAUCAAGCAAAGUUUAGGGAAAAUCACUUAGAAAAAUAUAUAAGGCAAAUGCAUCGUCCCAUAACCUAGAUCUAUGAAAGAUUAGAGAAAAGGCUAUUAGAUAACUAGGGCAAAUAUAGUAUUACGGUACUAUGUACUACUACCUCCGUCCUGAUUUAUUAGUCCCCCUCGUAUUUAGGGUCAUACUUUGACCAUGAUUUUAACUAUAGAAAAGUAUACUUUUCGUCCCUCAAUUUUUGACGGAGUCUAGAUUUGGUCCCUCAUCUUCUAAACCGGACAACUUGCACCCCAACUACUGAAACCAGACAAGAUUCAUCCCUGGUCUCGGUUUUGAGCGGUUUUUGUGCUGGCUCACCCCGGUUUUGACCCGUGCUGACUUACAUAUGUGUAUAUCUUUCAAAUCUGUGAAUCUUUCCAAAUCUCUGUACUUUUUCACGUUUGCGUAAAAAUUUCAAAUUCACAUACCUUUUUGAAAUCCGCACUAUUUUCAAAUCCACGUACUUCUUCAAGUUCACAUAAUUUUCCAAAUUCGCAUACUUUUUUCUAGUUCAUGUAUUUUUCUCAAAUCCGCGUACUCUUUUCAUGUUCGUGUACUGCUUUCAAAUCCGUGUACUUUAUCAAAUUCAUGAACUUUUAUAGAAAGUACGCGGAUUUGAAAAAAAAAAGCACUUGAACUUGAAAAUGGUAUGCAGACCUGAAUAAAAUAAACGGAUUUGAAGAAAGUACGCGAAUUUGAGUCAAAACACGCUCAAAACUGGCAAAAGUCAGCACCAAAACCGGUCAAAACCGUGUCCAGGGACAAACCUUGUCCGGUUUUAGUAGUUCGGGGUGCAAGUUGUCCGGUUUCAGAGUUGAGGGACCAAAUAUAGACUCUGCCAAGAGUUGAGGGACGAAAAAUAUACUUUUCUACACAAUAUCAACACUGCUGAAUCGCUAUUGCGAGAAUGUCGGUGGCAUAUGAGCACCCAAGGCUUCAACUUUUUUGUGCAAAACAACUCACACGCUUCCACCUAGCCUUUCAGUCUAAUCCAACCACUCGUCAAUGGUCACUGGCUAUCGGCCAUGUGUGACCUGAAUGUACGUGCUCCAUCCACCUCUGACUGAUGGGCUUCUUUCUCGAAUACGCACGAGUGUGCGUAUCAUUCAUUAUAGAAGAAGAGGGGGUGGGGAGCCCCAAACCACCAGUACAACAUUUAGCUUAUUUACAAGCGGAUUUCAUCCGCCCUACCCGGUACUCACAAAAGGCAAAGCUACUCGUGCCCUAUCCACUCUACCCUAGCUGGCUCUUGCCCUAGGACCUCGCCGUUAAUCAGGCCUGCCUUUGUCUAGAUAGCACCCUCCGACUGAAUCUUCUGCAGCACACCUGACAGAGAUGGUGUGUGUUCCUCAAACACAAUGUCAUUCCUAUGCUUCCACAACGUCCACAUCACCAACAAGCACAGAGCCCGAUUAGACUUCCGAUGCUCCAUAGUCUCCUCCUGUCUCAUGCACCAUUCGCCUAGAUCCUCGUCUGGCAGGGGGAGAUACUCCAUCCUUCCAGCCAAAGAGGUGCACCACUGCCAAACUUGCCUCGCAAAAACGCAGCCGAUGAGAAGAUGUUGCAUGGUCUCGUCUUGUUGGUUGCAGAAAGGGCAAGUGGCUUGGUGUGGUAGCCCUCGGCGUGCAAGCCUAUCCGAGGUCCAACACCGGUUCCUGAGAGCCAGCCAGGUGAAGAAGCGACAUCUUAAUGGGGCCUUUGACUUCCAAGUGAACGGCGCCGUCGGAGAUCGCUCUUCUGACCCGUCAACGUUAACCUAGGAGCAUGACCGCUUGUCUGUCGCGACUAAUGACAUGCAAACAACCCUUGAUCAAUGAUAUACACCACUGACGUGCUAGUCACAACUAGUAAAUAGUGAAUUGUCAUGUAUACAUUUUUUGUAGUGGUAUGAUAUAUCCUCGCUCGGACCAGAGGAGAUCAAAGAAAUAGCUUCGGAUGGAGGCCACAACGAUGAGCUACUCUCAUUGGUCUUGUUUGAUGCCAUGCAUCGCUUAAAAAUAGUAAUUCUUUGUCUGACAAAAGACUAAGAAUGUAUUCUAAUAAAUCUGAAAAUAAAGGUAGUAUCAGUUGCCAAGCUGCAGAAAUACAUCAUUUGGUCGGCAUUAUACCCUCAAAAUUCAAUUUAUCUCUAUUUUUUAAUAUAAAACCAUCAAAGCACUUGGCCAUGUUAACAACGAAGCACCUGGUGCAAGGAUUAAUGACUUCCAAACAUGGUGUAAAUCUACGAAGAGCUCAGUUAGUAUUGUGGAUCAGUUUCCCUGUCAAACUUUCAAAUUUUAAGUUUUAAUACUCCUCGCACUUUUCAAUUCAGCCUAAACAUAAGCAGGUAAACAUUGCUCUGGUUUCUUAGUGUUGGCAGAUCUGCACCUGGCAUUUGUUAAUGUCUCUAGUGUUGCAAGCUCAUUUUCCGCUUCUGCUUCUCAGAGUUGGAACCAUAAGGAGCAAUCGACAGCUGAUCUAGAUGUCCAACACGAAAAAAAUUACGCAUAUGCAUAAUCCCUCGGUAUAACCACCGUCAAUCUGCAUUUGGCAAGUUUGGUCAUGUGUGCUGGCACAUCUUGAAUUCCCGCUGCCUCACAAGCCACACCCAUGAAAUGCAAAGAGAUCAUAUACAGUGAAGAUUUGUAUGUAGCAGACAUUCAUGCGUGGAGUAUCACGUACUACUAGUGUGCUCCACCUCUACACAGUCAUAGCUAGUGACACUAAUCGACCCGUUGAGAUAUCGAUGACAUAUGGUUAUCCGGUUUGGAUUCCAAACUCUCUCGAUCUGGCUACAUAUAUGGAGCUAUCACCAUGAAUGCAAUAAUUACUAUCUCGCUAGUAGUACCAUAUAGUGGUUGAGAGCAAUUGUGUGCUGAAGUCCAGAAGCCUCUAAAGCCUAUAACAAGGUUUUGUUUUGUUUUUCUUGUGGAUAUCUCUAUAAAUGGAAAAGUGAGUUGAAGACUUCAUCAACUGCAAAAUUCAAGUGUAAUUUUUAGCCGUUAUGUGCCAACUCAUGGACGAGACUUGCCUGCUCCCCGCGCGUGCGCCCAUCCGUACUCCCGCGUACGUGGCUUGAUUUGAUUGGAGCAAAAUAAGGCCUGGCCUAACCUCCUUAAAAUCAGGGAGGGAGAUGAUUAGAUUAGAAAGGAAAAAGGAAAAAAGACAGCCAUAGGAUGAAAUGGGAGCACGGAUGAGAGCAUGGGAGGGAGCAGGCAAGCCGGAUCCCCAACUCAUGACAUUGAAAAUUUACAUGCUGCUUGCCUAGGUCAAAUUAGUAGGGGGCUUGGUCGUAUUAUGUAUUCAUUUACAUCACUACACAGGAUGGUAAAAAAUGAACAUGCACAAUGCAUGUUAACAAACCAUUUAAAGGGCAUUGAAGGCUGGAACUAUGUCAAGUAGAGCUCCGGUUCUAAGAUGAACAUGAUCCAAUCCACCGGGACGAUGCACCUGCCCGACAAAAAGAACAGAACAAACGAAGAUCGCGGGAGACUCAUGAUGAUCAGCAUUACAUGUUAGUAGAGACUUGUAAACAGCAAUGCAAGUGCUCGAAACUUGACCACGGCUAACUACAUAAAUUUAUGGGGCAGACUAUUACAGAUUCGCCUGAAAAAAAAAGGUUUCAGUCAAAUUGCUCUCCACCGCUGGAUCAUCCUCUAUCUUCUUCGCCAUCCUCAGCCUCUCCUUGAAGGUCCUGUCCGACGCCCUGAGCUUCAACCUCAUCUUCAUGUACGCCAGCCACAGCAAACUUCAACAGUAGCUACAACAUGCUCUGUCGCAAGGGUUUGAUCUCUAUAGCUUCCAGAGGAAGUGCCUAUGCGUUGCCGCCAUUUGACAUACACUCUUCAGUACAACACGCUUUUGUUUCAAGGGGAAAAUGAAUGAGAAUAAUUGAAAGAUGAACAUUGGCUUCAGCCAGUGGUUGAAAACGUUCUCUGACUAAAAGGGAGCGAAGAAAAACAAAGCCAGCAUUCACUGUUCCUCCGACAAUCAUCAGGCAUUACAAAUAUUCAGCCAGAAACAAAGUACUAUACUAAAUCCAAUGGAAAGGUAUGGGCCCACAUUAGUGCAAACAUUAGGAUCUCAAGUGCGGAGAAUUCAUUUCUUUAGAACUUGGAUAACAGGUACAAAAAUGCAUAUUCUGACAACAUAUUCUGAUCUCUCAUUCAAGCAAACGAAAACCAAGCACAGAUGCUGUCACGGCAUGGAGUUGGCAGCUACCCAAACAACACAUGAAUCAC
RNAcentral lists this long non-coding RNA (84957 nucleotides) under Triticum aestivum (bread wheat). RNAcentral describes it as "long non-coding RNA (TAES_LNC012966)". The stretch from base 680 to 804 matches the Rfam family "MIR1120/MIR1122 microRNA precursor family". The record is from RNAcentral. Lineage: Eukaryota; Viridiplantae; Streptophyta; Magnoliopsida; Poales; Poaceae.